This 57239-nucleotide long non-coding RNA is filed under the name Oryza sativa (Asian cultivated rice). Its description in RNAcentral is "long non-coding RNA (OSAT_LNC001515)". The record is from RNAcentral. Lineage: Eukaryota; Viridiplantae; Streptophyta; Magnoliopsida; Poales; Poaceae.
CCGAGGGGUUGUGCGGGGGCUGGCCCGAGCUCCAGGAAAGCAAAAAAUCUCGAUGUUAUGGAUAGAAACGAUGGAGGUGCUCGAUAUUCCAGGGGUUGGGCAGCUCUAUGCCGUCCUCCGUGGUUAACCGAAUGAAGCCUGGCCGGGGUACUCCGAUCACUUUGUAUGGCCCUUCCCACAUUGGUGAGAGCUUGCUCAGCCCUAGGCGCGACUGAACGCGGCAUAGGACGAGGUCGCCAACUUGUAGUGAUCGGGCCCGGACGUGACGUUGAUGGUAGCGUCGCAAGCUUUGUUGGUAGCGCGCGGCACACAGGGCCGCUCACCUUCUCCGUUCUUCAAGAUAAUCGAGAUCGUCGCGGUGAAGGUCGUCCAUGUUGGCCUCGUUAUACAGUGUGACGCAAGGCGACCCCAGGGAAAGCUCGGAGGGUAGGACCGCUUCAGCGCCGUACAUCAGAAAAAAUGGUGUUUCCCCCGUGGCGCGGCUUGGGGUAGUCCGAUUUGCCCACAACACGGUGGGCAACUCCUCGAGCCAUGAAUCCCCGUGCUUCUUCAGGACGUUGUAUGUCUUGGUCUUGAGUCCUUUGAGGAUUUCGGCGUUGGCUCGCUCGACUUGGCCAUUGCUCUGGGGGUGGGCGGGUGAGGCAAAGCACAAUUUGAUGCCCAUGUCAUCACAGUAAUCGCCAAAUAGCUCACUGGUGAACUGGGUGCCGUUGUCUGUAAUGAUACGGUUGGGCAAUCCGAAUCGAGACGUAAUGCCUCUGAUGAACUUGAGGGCAGAAUGCUUGUCGAUUUUGACGACCGGGUAGGCCUCGGGCCACUUGGUGAAUGUGUCGAUGGCAACGUACAAGUGCAGAUACCCGCCUCGAGCUGCCUUGAAUGGUCCAAGGAUGUCUAGCCCCCAGACUGCGAAAGGCCAAGAGAGUGGGAUGACCUGCAAGGCUUGGGCCGGCUGGUGGGUCUGCUUGGCGUGGAACUGGCAUGCCUUGCACCGCUGGACCCAUUCUUGGGCAUCUUGUAAUGCAGCCGGCCAAUAAAAACCUUGCCGGAAGGCUUUUCCGACCAAAGUUUCUGAGGACGAAUGGGCCCCGCACUCACCCUGAUGGGCGUCGGCUAUGAGCUCGAUGCCCUGCUCUCGAGAAAUACACUUCAAGAGUAUCCCGUUGGCGGCACGCCGGUAGAGGGUCCCUUCUAUGAGGACGUACCGUUUGGAGAUGCGCGCGACCUUUUCAGCUUCUGCGCGAUCCUUAGGAAGAGUAUUGCCGUCGAGAUACCCCGGAUGUCGGUCAUCCAUACGAGGGUUGGAGGGCGUGUUGUUGGGGUCCCUCAAAGGGUUCGGUCGCGCCGAUGGUUGCGCGAGCCUUUCUUCGAAAGUCCCUGGGGGGAGUGGGGCUCGUGCCGACGCAACACGCAACAACUCGUCAGCAACUGUGUUGCCGCGUCGGGGCACGUGCUGGAGCUCAAGUCCGUCGAAGUGGCGUUCCAUGCGCCGUACUUCGUAGACAUAUGCUUCCAUUUGCGGGUCGGUGCACUGAUACUCUUUGGAUACUUGAUUUACGACCAGCUGGGAGUCACCUAGGACCAGGAGAUGGCGGAUGCCCAUUCUGGCUGCCGCCCUCAAUCCCGCGAGGAGCCCUUCAUAUUCUGCCAUGUUGUUCGUGGCUCGGAAGUCGAGUCGAACGACGUAUUUGAGGACGUCUCCGCUUGGCGAGGUCAGUGUGACUCUGGCACCUGCACCUGAAGGUUGAGGGAGCCAUCGAAAUGCAUAAUCCAGUGCCCGCCGCGAAUGUCGGCGUUUGGAUCCUCUUCCUCUCUAGGGGGGAAAGGGACAUCGGAUGGAACAGGUUCAUCCACUGGGGUCCAUUCCGCGAUGAAGUCAGCCAGGACUUGACUUUUGAUCGCGUGCCGCGGUUCGAAGUGCAGAUCGAACUCAGCCAGCUCGAUGGCCCAUUUUACCACCCGUCCAGUACCCUCUCGGUUGUGCAAAAUUUGGCCGAGAGGGUACGACGUCACUACGGAAACCUGAUGCGCUUGGAAGUAGUGACGCAACUUCCUUGAGGCCAUCAAAACGGCAUAAAGCAUUUUCUGGGCCUGCGGAUACCGGGUUUUCGCAUCUCGAAGUGCCUCGCUGACAAAGUAGACGGGCCGCUGCACCUUUCGGCGGGGCCGGUUCGUGUUGUCAGGGGUAGAUGAUCCGGGGCGCGCCUGUUCGGAGGUCCCGGGGGGAUCCCGGAUUGCCUCAGGAUCAUAAGGCUCGGGGCCACCUGCCAAAGCCUCCCCUCCUCCCUCGGGGGCCUCGGGGUCCUCCCGGGGGCUGGGAGCUUUGGGCGCUAGGCCUUCGGGGGACGAGGGGCCGUUGCGAGCCGGAGGGGCCUCCCGUUCGCCUUCCUCACGCUCAACUAUUAGGGCGGCACUCACCACAUGAGGGGUCGCGGCCAAGUAGAGUAGCAAUGGUUCCUCCGGCCCCGGGGCUACCAAGACCAGGGGGGAAGUGAGGUAAGCUUUCAGCUGAUUGAGAGCUUGCUCAGCUUCCUCCGUCCAUAUAAACGGCCCAGAGCUCUUGAGGAGCUUGAAUAGGGGUAGCGCCCUCUCACCCAGCCUCGAUAUAAAUCGACUCAGGGCGGCCAUGCAUCCAGUGACGCACUGCACAUCCCUAAGCUUGCUGGGGGGGCACAUCCUCUCUAUCACACGUAUUUUCUCAGGAUUUGCUUCUAUGCCCCGGGAAGAGACUAGAAAACCGAGAAGCUUGCCCGCCGGCACGCCGAACACACACUUAUCGGGGUUCAGCUUUACGCGCGUGGACCUAAGACUAUCGAAAGUUUCGGCCAGGUCCUGUAGCAACGUGUCCUGGUGGCGCGUCUUUACCACCAGGUCAUCGACAAACGCCUCUACAUUGCGCCCAACCUGAUUACUUAAAGUAAUACGAGUCAUGCGCUGAAAAGUAGGGCCUGCAUUCUUCAAUCCAAAAGGCAUAGUUGUAAAACAAAAGGUGCCCACAGGAGUAAUAAAGGCGGUUUUUUCCUCAUCUUCCCUAGCCAUGCGAAUCUGAUGGUACCCAGAGUAUGCAUCUAGAAAACAUAAAAGGUCGCACCCCGCAGUGGAGUCGACUAUCUGAUCUAUGCGUGGCAGAGGGAAGGGAUCUUUAGGGCAUGCCUUGUUGAGGUCUGUGUAGUCGAUGCACAUCCGUAGCUUGCCGUUGGCCUUCGGGACAACCACCGGGUUUGCCAGCCACUCCGGAUGGAUCACUUCGCGGAUGAAAUCAGCCUCCAGGAGCCGCGCAACAUCCUCCCUGAUGAAGGCAUGCCGCUCCGGGGCUUGACGCCGCACUUUCUGCCGGACAGGUCGCGCAUCCGGUCGCAUGGCAAGGCGGUGCUCGAUCACCUCCCUAGGGACCCCGGGCAUAUCCGACGGCUUCCAUGCGAAGACGUCAGAAUUCGCCCGCAGGAAGGAGAUGAGCGCGCUUUCCUAUUUGGCGUCCAAAGUUCCGCCAAUCUUGGCGGUCUUGGACGGAUCGUCGCCAAGGGGGAUCUCCUUGACGGGCACCUCGUCAGCCGAGGUGAGGCGCUUCUUGGAGGUGUGGGACGCAGAGGCCUCUGGGGCCUGUGGCUCCGUGGCCACCACUAGGUUGUCUGCGCGCUGCUCCGCGCAGGUGAGGGCGACCUUGACUUCACCAAAGACGGUGAUGGGGCCAGCAGGGCCCGGCAUCUUCAUCUGGAGGUAGGCGUAGUGAGUGGCGACCAUGAACUUCACCAACGCGGCUCUGCCUAGAACUGCGUUGUAGGGCAGAUUGAGAUCCGCCACAUCGAAGUCGAUCCGCUCGGUGCGGAAGUUUUUGGAGUCGCCGAAGGUUAUCGGGAGCUCUACGUGGCCAAGCGGCCACGUGUGCCCCGGAGUAACGCCAAUGAUAGGGAGCGACGGCUGGAGCUUCAUCCCCGGGGCCUUGAGCGCGUCAAAGGCAGCCGGGGAGAUGAUGCUCAGACUGGCCCCCCCAUCCACCAGCACACGCUUCAUCUUGACAUUGUGGAUAGUCGGGGAGACCACCAGGGCCAACUUCCCUCCCCGAGCGAGCACCGUCGAAUGGUCGCUCUGGUCGAACGUGAGCUUCACCUCUGACCAACGCGCCUUCCGGACCGCUUCGUGCAUGGGAACGGCGGCCAGAAGCUCUCGCCUCAUGGCCUUGAAGCCUUGGCAAAAGGUGUGAGCGCAAGCCCCCCUCCCCUCCCGUCGAGCGUGACGACGGUCCCCUGAGGUAUCUGGAAGUCCAGAUCCUCACUGUCUCCGCCAUCAUCGGCGGGGGCAUUGUUCUUGGCCUCCUCUCGCCGGUCACCGGUUGAGGUCGCGGGAGCUUUGCCCUCCCGUCGACCCUGCUGCUUCUCCUCAUCGGCCUUUCAGAACCGCUUGGCCAAAUUCUUGACCGAGCGGCAGUCGGCGAGACUAUGGCGGUAAGUGUUGUGGACCGAGCACCACUUGUCCGCCGACCGGCCCUCGCCGGAGGGAACAGUGGGGCUUGGCUUAUCGCCGGUGGCCUUUCCUUUGCACGGGGCCCAUGCGGGCCCAUCUGCCGCAAGGACAUGGCCCUCGUCAUCGAAGCAGGCUGGUUUCCUUUUGCCUCUCCUAUCUCGCCGCUUGGAGCGGGGGCAGACUCGGGGGUAGCCGCGGCCGCCGCACCGGUGCUGGGAGAGUUCCAAGCCCACGCCUCCUCCUUUUGGGCCACCUUGUCCGCCAGCUCGAAGAGCUCGGCGGUGGUCUUGGGCUCCUUGGAGGCUAUCUUCUCCAGCAUGCAAUUAUGCCGCACGCCGUUCCGGAAUGCAUAUACAACCGCGUGAGCUGGAAUGCACGGAAUAGUGUUGCGGACCUGACAGAAGCGCUGUAUGUACGAACGGAGGGACUCGUCGUCCUUCCGUUGUACAGCGUGUAGGUCCGUCUCUUCCCCCGGACGGGGAUAUGUGCCCUGGAAGUUCGUAAUGAACUGCUGGCACAGAUCCUCCCAGGAGUGAAUGGAGUCGGGGGGCUGGGUCAUCAACCAACCACGCGCCUGACCCUUGAGGGUCAUGGGAAAGUAAUUCGCCAUGACCCGGUCAUCACCCCCUGCAGCCACGAUAAUCGUGGUGUAGAUCUGGAGGAACUCGGAGGGAUUGAUGCUACCAUCAUACUUCUCCGUAAGGUUGGGGCGAAACUUCGGGGCCACCGGACAUUCCGGAGACUCGCCACAAAGGCCCUACAACCUGUCCCCCCAGGGGUGAGCGUAGGGGGAGGGCCGCCUCGUGAAGGGGAGCGUGGCACUCUAAAUGAGAAGGCGCCUUCCCCCAUGCGGGCAGCUCGGCGCUCGUCCCGGCGUCGCUCAAUGUUGAUUCGAGCGUCCUGCGCCCCGUAGAGGCCGUCAUGAUGCCUCCGGCUUCCCGAGGCCCCCGACGAUGUUGGAACUGUGGACCGCCUUGAGAUCGUGGCCGAUCGGUGGGCCCUUCUCCUUGCCGACGAGGAGAGGGUAACCGAGGUACGCGACGUACCAGUGGCGGUGGAUCGGCCGCCCGUGGCCAACUGCCGCUGGGCAGUAGUGACCAAGUUGGCCACGUCGUCCAGCCAGUGCUGAACGGGGGUCUCCGACUCCGGGUUUACCGGGGGAUGCCGCAGAAGGGCACUCGCCGCCUGAAGCGCUCCUUGGGGCGAACCGCCGUCUCCAUAAUCGAGACGGCGGCGUGCCCCGACGCAUCGCGGCCUCCCUCCGCCAGGGGGUGGAGAGAGAGCCGAACCACCCGAAUGGGUGGGAUCCUCCCUCCGCGAGGGUUCGCGGCGGGGAGGAGUUGGAGAACCGUGGCGAUGGUGACGAGGAUCACGGCUUUCUCCGGAAUCCCCACUCCCGGACGGGGUGGGGGUAAACGCCACUGCCUCCUCCUCUACCUCCAGGACCUCGUCCAUCAUCGGCUAAGGCCUGGAGAAACUUGGGACGGAAGAAAGCGAUUUCUUCUCGAAACGCGCAACUGCCCCCUACCUGGCGCGCCAGCUGUCGAGGGAAGAUCCUCGAUAGCGGGGAGUCGUAAGAGCCCCCUUUUGUGAGUUCGGCCGGGGGCAGAGGCUCGCCUCUUGGAAAUCACUCGUUCGUCCCUAAGACUAACGGCUAGCUUGCACACAGUCGGAUUAUACAGGUUCGGGCCGCUAUGGAGCGUAAAACCCUACUACUGUGUUUGGGAUUAUGGAUGAGUUUUACAAAGGUUUCCUCACUCCGGAGAGCGUUUUCGCUUUCUUUCUCCUGGAGUUCAGGUUUUCUGGGAGUCGUCCCCCGAUCUCAGUGGGCAAGGUCCUCCUUUUAUAGUUCAAGGGGAUACCACAUGCGCCGCCUCUACCUACCCUCCAUGGGAGGGGGAUCCCACUCCACUUUGACUGGGUUUCAAUCCAUGCCUUCUCCCGGAAGCUAAGCAGCAACCGGUUCUCGAGUGGAACCCGGCGUCGUCCCCCGCCUGACACGGGGAACAACCCUGUCAUUCCCUCAUAAAUGAGUGAGGACUUGCGGCAGCCCUUCCUCGAGCGACGCUCCGAUGUGACGGAUCAUACCUACGCCCACUCCGCCGGAUACAGAGGCGACGUGGGGACAUGAUUACCCUACCAAUCGGAUGUGACAGCAAUAGGCCGGUCACAGACCGGUCACAUCCGAUUGACAGGGGCCAGUUAGGCGUGCCGCAUGUCUGCCCUUACUGCAUUAAAUGCGGUGAGGGACAGUUGGGGCGUCGCACAUUUAUGUUUGUUCAGCCUGAGUUCCCCUCUCGCUCUCUCCCUCCGCCGCGUGGCAGCCGGGCGAGGGCCUCGGGGCGAAGCUACGGGAGAGCUCGAGGGGGCGACAUCACGCCCCGAGGCCCCCCCCCCCUGCCGCUUUCGCGACUCGCGGGACGCGUCGGUGGGGCUAGUGUCACGUCCUGAUUUUCGUUUCAGAUUUAUAAAUUAUUUAAUAAAUUAUUAUUAGAAUUUAUAUUAAAUGUUCAUUAAUUUACAAGUGAAGUUAAAUGUGGGAAAUAAAAUUUCCUAAAUAUAAAGCAUGGAUGGAUUUAAUUUUUAUUAAAUCCUCCAUGGUUAAUUAUACUCUCUGGAAUUUUCUCGGAUUUUUCAGAGCUCAAUUCUUAAUUUUAAUCAUACAAAGAAAAUUUCAGUAAUUAUCCACAUAUUAAAUUAAUCAUUAAAUGGUCUGAUUAUAAUUUUUUUAAAUACUUUGAGGGUCCAAGUAUUUUCAAGAUUUUUCUUGAAAUUAUUUGAGCAAUAUAAGUAUUUUUAACAAUUCAAAGAUCAUUUCAGUGAUUAAUUUAAUUGGAAAAGUAAUUAAAAUUCACCUUUUCCUUUUCGGGCCGAAUUAGGAAAAGUCCUCUCACUCUCGGCCCAGUCUCCUCUCAGCCUGCAGUCCUUUCCCUCUCUUUCCCAAAGUCUGCUUUUUGUCCCUCCUUUAAUCAGUCCUUGGAAGUAGAAGCCCAGCCGAAAGUCUAAUUAGCCUCCCCGUGUACUAUUCAUCUUCAAGCUUGGACAGAAGCCCGAGCUGCCGUCCUGUACCUGUGCAGCCGCCGCUUCCUCCACCAAAUCCGGCCUUUUCUCUUGUGUUUUCCUAAAAUUAGUUGAGGGGAAAUCAUCUCCACCUUAUCCUCUCCCUUUCCUUUAAAGUCUCGGAGAUUAAUUUUGCCCGGAUAAACCAAAUCGAAUUCGUUUUCGAGUUUAUCUCUCCAACUAACCCUCGGAUUUUCCGGCUCAAAUCCUCUCGUUUGGAGUCCGAUCUCUCUAAUCCAAGCCUAUAAAUAGCAUCCCUUUGGCGUCCUCUUUCGUUUGCCCCAACUCCCGAGCCUUCUCGUCCCCCGUAGCGCCGCCGCCACGCCGUCCAAGCCGCCGCCGCCGCCGCCGCCGGCCGACGUCCAGCCGCGCCGCGCCGUCGCGUUAUCAGUCGCCGCCGCUUCCUGUCGCCGCCGUUAGAUGCGCACGGAGGCGGGGAACCUCGGCCGCCCCCUCGCCGCCGUUGCCGGUCACCGGAGAGCCGCCGCCGCCGACGACCCGAGCCGUGCCGCCGCUAGAGCUCGCCGCCGGCCACCAUUCGUCGUCGUCCAUCGCGUUUGCUAGUACCGGUGAGUUCGCGUCGUCGUCCUCUACGUGUAGAUGCCUUUAGAUAGCCCUGCCGACCUCUCUAUCGCCGGCGAGGUCGUCGCCCGUGUCAUGCCGGCGAUGAUGACGUCAGCAUGACGUCAUAUUUCCUUUUUCCAGUUUUUUUUCUAGAUGCAAAUAGAUUAAAACUUCAGAAAUUCAUAACUAAUUCAUCGUAACUCCGAUUCGAGUGGUUCAAGUUGCUAAAUGUUUCUAAAAUCGAGAUCUACAUGUUAAAAAUAUCCACAUGUACUGUUUAUGAUUGUUUUUGUACUGUUUUGUUGAUUUUAUUCAUUUGCUUUAGUUUCCGACGUUCCGGAGGAGAGCGUUUUCGUUGAGAAAGGUUCGGAAGCCUUUGCAGAAGCUCAAGGCAAGUCACACGGAUCCCAAACGACCCUGAGCAUGUUGAACCCGUUUAAAGCUAAUGUUUUAUUUCAACUUAUACAUUAUUUUCGAAUGUCAUCGGGUGGUGAGCCUUUCCCAAUUAAUUAUUGGCCGAAGAUGAAUUUAUUUUCCUACGGGUUAUAAUUCGAUUAGCUAGAACCUUAUAUAUUGGUUUAGUUCAGCUAAAUGCUAUAUAUAUAUAAUUGCUUAGCCAUGCUUAGAAACAUUAGCUCAUUAAUGGGGUGAAUCAUAUUACAUUAUUACUUAUGGUUAGAUUUAAAUGUAGCUCACGAUGGUUAAUCGUGUUAUGAUAAUUAAUUGAUAAUUAAAACUUGUCAAUGGUGGGUUGUGAGCACAUGGUUUUGAAGGUCGUGCUCAUGGCAAUUAAGGACCGGUUCGCGAGCUACUGUUGUGAAACAUUAACCGUACCAAUCACAAGCCAGCGUGGGCAACGGGGGCAACGGCUUUAUCUUUUGUAUAGCAUGGUUCAUUACGGGGUGCCAGACUGAGAAGCGGCGAGAAGUCCGUGGGGGUCGCUGGGGAGUCCAUGCCUCUGGUUUUUGAGGGGGUGAUUAUGAUCCAUGAAUGGUGCACUGUGGUGAGUUGUGUUGUGCGAAGGGUAUUGUCACGAUUUCCCCCUUUGCAGUGCCGUGGUGGUACUUCGGGGCAUGGCAACAUGUGUGGAAUCGUGUCUUGUAGGUACAGUGGUACACCUCUGGCCAGAGUAAAACUAUUCGAAUAGCCGUGCCCGCGGUUAUGGGCGGGUUGAGCAAUGUUUUUUUGAUUAGUCUCACAACUCUCACAAAUAAUUAUUGAUGCAAUAACUGGUAAUAAUUUGUUUAGCUCCUGGUUUGGAGUUAGAUCUGUACAGCCGGGUACGGUUGUUCAGGAUGGUUGGCCCUGUGCAGCAUUGGGGUGCUGUUCAGUGUUGAUUAAAAUUGAUGAUUAAUUACUCUACUGUUUCACUACUCUUAAAUCUUUACUAAAUGCUGCUUUCGCAAAUGAGACUAUAUUAUGCCAUCCUUUGGUAUCCUUGUGUACUUGCAUAUUUGCUGUGUGGCUUGUUGAGUAUGUCAUAUGCUCAUUCUUGCAAUAAUCAUUAAACCUCAGUUGAAGAAAAAGGAUCCAGAAGGAGAAGACGUUUGGCUUAUACCCCAGUUGAGCUGCCUGUGGGAGUGGAGCUGAAGCCAUCGCUAGACUGUUAUUCCGCUGCUGUUUUUCUUUUCUUUUGUAAGUAUGUAACGUUAUUAUUAUGAUGGAUUUGUAUAUUAAAUUGUCAGUUUGUGUACCUCGGCUGAUUCCUAGACGAGGAUUUUAUGCACAAAUUAGUUCGGAAAUUACUAGUGAAUUUCCGGGCGUGACAGCCAGCUUGCAGAGCCACGUGGCUGGAGGGAAGGUAACUCCCCUCUACUUCACAUACCCCCGGACCCAUAUCUCCGACAGUUAAUUUCCUGGGGAGGGUAUUCCUUCGUAUUUAGCCCCGGUUGUAUGAUCAUGACGGGCUGUCGAAAGAAACUCGGCAGUCAGGGGUGGCUUCUCGAAGUACCAAGAGGGCAUCGGAUAGAGGGUAUUAGCUAGUAUAUCAGUUAACUAGAAUGUAUGUAUACUAUACUAUGUAUACUAUUAAGUAUAGGAAUAGAUUUCCUUUCUCUUUUCUUUCCACCUAGCUUAGAUUAUUUAUUAUGAGAAUGAGUUGUUAAUGCUUGUGUGUCACUCUACCCUUGGAUUAUCUUAACCCCUGCUUAGAAUAUGAUUAUCACAAGUAAUAUAUAAAUUAUUAGUCAAUCUCUCUUUACAUGAUCUUCCCACGGGAUAAAAUAAAUACGAUACCCUUGGAAUACUCUCGGGUUAAAUGCUACAAUGGUAUAUCCGUGUGCUUGCGGAUGAACUCUGUAACCAUAAUAUACCAGAACCAGAAGUAUUUCUGCGUCAUUGCUUGGAAUUAUAUUUCUACUAAUGUCGUCAAGAAAUACCAAAACCCGUGAGCCGCUAGCCGAGCCUUCCAGGCCUAGCCAACCGACUCGUUUAGCCACGCACGCACACAUGAUUGCGUUGCCGCCUUUAUUUCGUGUCCUGGCACAGCGCGCGUGUCCUGCGCCGUGUCAACCACGCCAGGAUUUGUUCGCGCGAGCAGCCUCCGUCCCGUGCGCCGCCUCACUUCAGCGCCGUGUCGGCCUUGUCGCUCUCGUGCGCCGCAACCGUCCGCGGGCAAGCCUGACGGACACAGCGGGCCAGGACAAGCGCCAUACAGCUCCUUUCUUCUCCCGUGAGCCGCAAAGUGCUCCCGAGCACCGCGGUGCACCGGACCCGCCUCGACCCCGUGCCUUGUUGCUCCUCGCUGUGCCGAUCGCACAUGCGCGCAACAACGAAAAAAAAUUGAAAAAAAUGUUUUUUUUACCGAAAUCACAAGAAUAUACUGAUUUGGGAAAGAUUUACGUAAAUAUACAGCCUUCUCUCUUUUGUUUAGUGAGACGGCGAUCUCGCUUAACGGCGGCGCGAAGGCAAUAACACUAUCGCUAAUCAAAAAGCGGCACCGCUAAUCACGCGGUCUCGUGCUCCAAAGGCGCGAGAGCGCUUUGGUCUCGCACCUAUGCUAUGCGCGAUACCGUGGACAUUAUGGGUACCACAUACCCACACAGCAUGGAUAUUUACAAGGGAUAGUCUAUAUGGGUAGAAUAUGUUUAGAAAAGGAUUCGGGAAUUAUGUUAACUUAUAUCAAGAAAAUAUCCUGUAAUCCUAGUUGGUUACUAUUGUAAUAUAUCUAUAAGGUCUAGUCCGUAAGGAACAAGGUCUGUACAUUGUAAUCCUGGCUGAUGAGGACAUCCUUUCCAACGAUACAACCAUGCCUAUUGCACAGUAAGGACCAAUCACUAGAGCUCGAGCUCGUGAACUUAAUUAUUAGGUAAAGUCGUUCCUAGCUAAUCAUACAAGUGCUUAUCAAAAUUGGGUGCUACUAAGUGGUUGUUGUGAUCUACUUGUUAGGAAUAUGAGAGAGGAACCAGAUCGCAAACAGCAUAAGCAGCGUUGAUUUGGUGAAGUCAAUGCUCUUCACUCCGAAGUGCGAUGGGGCAAAUGAGUACUUGUUGGAAAGAUCUCGUCGUCUACUUUCAACUAUGUGUGGCCUCAGCAUCAGAUUCCGCCCAAGCUGCUCAGAAUGGCUAAAAUAGUUUUCGCAUUAGAAACUUGGGCUUGGGCCUUGUAUCUUUACAGCCCAUUAGAGGUCCACAAAAACUAGGGUUUUCUUCCACCUCCUCUCCUGGUCAUCCCUCCACCCAUAUAAACCCUAGCAGCCACCAUUUUGCAUUUUUUGGGUUUUGUUUAGAUGCAAGUUUAGUUUCAGCUACUUGUACUCGCGUGUGUCAGCUAGACCACCCGGAUACUUGUAUUCAGAACCCCAUAUUCGAUUGUUUCAGUUUCAUCAUUUGACAAGUGUUGUGAGCUGUUUCCUUUUGUUAACUUGUUCUUGCUUGUUCUUCGAUUGCUUGUAGGUUCAAGGUUGUUCUUGGCACGGCAAGAACAACAACAACGUGGAGUCUGUGUACCGGUUGCUAAGGCGCAGCACCCCUGUGGUAGUUGUAGUCGGACCGCCAAUGUCGUGUCCUCCCCCAAAUCAAAGUUUAUUGUAGGGUCCCGAAACUAAUGAUUCGGUAACUGAUGUAUCAAGCCCUGGAUCAGUAAAUUGAUACAGAUUCAACAAUCUGGAUCUUCAUUGCAUACAUUUGGACAAGAUUUCAAAGGAAAUUUCUUUACAUAAAAUAAUAGGGUAUUUAUAAAAUUGUGGCUAACUAUUACAACAGAAGCUAUAGAAUGACCUAACAAAACCUAGCUUCUAAAUCCUCAUAAGCUAGAUAACAAUCAAGUGCUUCUCAAAAUCUUAGGCCAUGUUUGGGGAGCUGUUAACGACCAAAUUUGGUAAAUUAAGCAUCGGAGAUGGAGUUAAAACCGAAGCGGAAUCAAAAGGAUUGACGGUUUCGGAAACAGAGUGCGCAUCGGCAGAGUUCGAAUCGGAUAAGGUGGCCAGAACAGCCGAUGAAGCCGAUUCCGACAAGAAAAAGAUCAAAGUCAUUAUCAGAUUGGGUUGAUAUGCUUAAUGAGUAUUGCCACACAUGGAUUGAGUCCGAAGAAGGCAAUUGUAUCUAUUAAUUAGGAUAUUUUAUGCAAUUUCCUUAUAUUUUGAGUCGGUAAGAGUUCACCUAAGGGACUUGUUCGUAUCUAGAAUUGUAAUAGAGAUAGGAGUCGUGUCUGACAAGGACAUAUUAUGUACUUUUGGUAUAAAAGCAAACCCAAACCCAUGUAAUCAGAUAACAAUCAGUUCAACAACACUUUCGGCGCAUUGCCACCCUUUUACUUUCGUUUUGUUUCGACGAGUUCUUGCUUUCGAGUUUGGCUGCAUCAGUCUAGAUCUCCGACAAGAGGUAAAACUUGUUAUGACGGCUUGCGUUCUCGGGAUUAGUGCUUCCAUUUUUAUGACACUCUAAUCUUGUUGAUGUAAUUCGUCGAGUUAUCAUAUAUUCUAUAUAAUCUAGAUCAUUAUUGCUAUCUAACCUUGAAUCGGCUAACAUCUACUAGUGGAUUCCAGCCGAUAAGGUUAGAUAUCAACGUUGACUUAGAUUAUAUAGUGUAUCUACCAUCUCGAAAGACUUUCAUUGACUUGUUUAGAUCUUAUACUUCUCUUUAUGCUUAAUGCUGCAUCGGUUAGGUCCGACCUAUUAAGUAAUAUCUAGAAUUAUAAUAUCUAGCUUGUUUUAUUAUUGCUAUUAGAGAUAGUAUCGGAGUUUCAGCCGUUCUUACCUGAUCUUGUUCAUUAUUUUAUGUACUUGAUAUGCUAAAUCUGCCCUUUAUAUCAAGAUCUCACUGUGGUAAAAUAUAUUAAGCUUGUUAUUAAUCUGUUAAGCUAUCUUAGCACUUGAUUGAUUUAUGUUUAAUAUAUUUUGCUUAUAUUGAUAUCUUAGUAUAAAGUGGUAUCGGAGUAUUAGCCGAUACACGUUAAAUCUAUAACAUCGGCUAUGCUAUAAGCAUAUAUAAUCUCUGUUUUGGAGUACUUUUAAAUGAUUUAUACUAUCUCGGCACACUAUCCGAUCUAUCCCAAUCACUUAGUUUAAACAUAUUUUCAAGACUUAAUUUAUGUAUUGUUGAUAUCUACAGCCGAUCGAAUAGAUUUAACUUUCUUUUUGCUUUAUAUCUCACUGUCGAUCUACUUUACGCAACAUCGGCUAGGUUAUAAACGAUACGUCAUUGGCCAUAGCCGAUCGGCUAUCGUUUGAGGAUUUAACUUUGUUUCCAUGUUUCUUGUUGGUUACAGGAUCAAACCAACUGGCACGUCCUUGAACCUAAAAGCAAGAUUUAGGUCCUGCACUAGAGUUCAGAUCUCUCAGGCCAGUGUGUGUUUUUCACAUCAACGGGAGCUUAAGAUUCUGAGAAGCAGCUGGUGAGAAGCUAGCUGGUUCCUAGCUUCUAGUUUCUAGUUUAUUUUCUGGAUUCUACAACUACAGUUUCUCAGUAUCUGGACCAAAAAGUAGACUGUUUAGGGGAGCUUCUGAUCACGGAAAAAGCUGUAGUAAUUAGAAGCUCCCUAAACACGAAAAAGCUAACGGGCGAUCAGUCGCGCGCGCCCCUUCCCGCGCGCGGAGAGGGACGGCGGACGCGCCGCACGAGAGGAGGAGGGAGUAGCGAGUUUUCCGUUUUUCCCUUUGUUUUUUGUCGUUUCUGUUCGGUUGUUUUUUUCUUUUUUUUCUUUUUUUUCUCCGUUUUUCUCGUUUCUUUUUGUUUGGUUUUUUCAUUUUUUUUUCCGGUUUCUCUUCUGUUUCUUUUUUGUUUUUUUAAAGAUGCAUGAAUAUAAAGUUUGUAUUCGUACGUAUACAAAGUUUGUAUAUGCGUAUGCAAAGUCUGUAUACGUGUAUGCAAAGUUUGUACUUUGUAUACGUGAUGUAUUUUCUAGUUUUUAUUUUAUUUUUUAAUAUGUACGUAUAUAAAGUUUGUAUAUAUCGUAUAUAAAGUUUAUACACAUCGUAGUUUGUAUACGCGUAUGCAAAGUUUGUACUUUGUAUACGUGAUGUAUUUUCUAGUUUUUAUUUUAUUUUUUAAUACGUACGUAUAUAAAGUUUGUAUAUAUCAUAUACAAAGUUUGUAUACGUGCAUAUUUUUUUAUACAUCAAUAUAUAUAUAUAUAUAUAUAUAUAUAUAUAUAUAUAUAUGUUAUAGUAGUAAUAAUAAUAGUAGUAUAACAACAGCAGCAGCAGUAGUAAUAGUAGUACUGUAGUAGUACUAGUACUAUUAGUACUGACCGCGCGCCCGACUAGUGGCGUAUUAGGAACAGGCCUUUUGAGAUUAAAGAGGUCCUAAGAUGGAUUCCUCACUUAUUAAUGGUGGCGUAUUAGGAACAGGCCCUUUGAGCUUAAAGAGGUUCUAAGAUGGAUUCCUCACUUAUUAAUGGUGGCGUAUUAGGAACAGGCCCUUUGAGCUUAAAGAGGUCCUAAGAUGGAUUCCUCACUUAUUAAUGGUCGAAAAUGUGUUUGACGCGCGUUCGCGAAUUAGUUUCUCGUCUUUCAGCCGGGCCGUAGUCUAUUCUGUCCGCCUAUUCAAAAAGCCCAUAGCAGCAAGCAGAAGCCCAUCGUAAUCGGUUAGCCUCUCUCUCCUCUGACUCUGACUCCUUCCUCCCUUGCCCAUCAUCGUUCGUUCCCCUCCCCUCCUCGAUUCCCCGUCUCCUCCGCGUGAGCUCGCCGGAGCACCGCCGGCCGAUCCCCCCCACCCCCGCCACGCGAGCAGCGCCGCUCGCGCGGCCUGCUGCCCCCGCCUCACCCUCGCCGGUGAGCAAUCCCUCCUCCUCUUUCUCAGGCCUCUCUUCUAGAUCUGGAAGCUUUUCUCCUCCCCUUGCCGUAACCCUAGCGCUAACAUUUGGUUUUGUUUUUCUGACCAAAUUUUUUUUGGGGAGGGGUUUCAGGUGAACGGCGCAUGCCCCCCCGACGUUAGGUGUCGCGCCUGGAGACGCGGAGAUGGAUCCGAUGGAUAUCGUGGGGAAGUCCAAGGAGGACGUCUCCCUCCCCAAAUGUGAGCUGAACUCCCUUGAUUCUGAUUAUGCGUUUUUUUUUCAUGCUUUCUCUUCGUGCCUAGAAAUUUUGAUGCAAUUGUGCUUGUCUGCGACCGGGCCAUGGUUAAUCUGCGAAUUAUCUGGUUAGGGUAAUUUAAUUUAAUUUAAUUUGCGUCAGUUCUAUUUCUUUUUAGAGUUGAUACUCCCGUCAGGUUACAUUAUGUGUGUUGUCUCAGGCAGGCGACUUGUUGAGACAAGAAUUUAGGGUUUCUUUUUUUUUUGUAUGUGAUUUUAUUUACAUGCUCUUACAGAGGGAGGGAGGGGGUGUUCUGCUGUGCUAAUCCGUUGUUAGGGAGGUUGAAUUCACUUUUGGUGAAUAGAUUCUGUAUGCCUAGGUUGUGUGAAUUUGUGGUAAAUGUGGACUUGAAGAUUGCGCUGAUUAUUUUAGGGGUUUUCUUAUUUGAUGCAUAGUGAGAUUGUAUGUGAUCGGUCCAUGUUUCAGAUAUUAUCGAUGACAGCAGACAUGGAAUAGAAUGUUAACUUUCAUGGAAAAUCUAGAUUGUGCUGCUUAUUUCUUAGGAGUAUGUUGCUUGAAGUUGGCACUACAUUUGUCGGGUUCUGAUAAUCUGAUUGGUGUUGUAAAUAUGGUACUCCUUUUGUGUACAUUGAUUUCAUGCUCCAAGUUGACGAUUUGUUUCUUUUGUGGUUAUAGCACAUAGCCACAUACCUUUCCUUGAGUAGUUGUUUCCUUCAGAUCGAAAAUUAAUGCAUUUCAAUUAUAAACCUUGUGAUAAAUGGUCUUUGAUGCUUACUAUGAAGUCCAGUAAUGUUUACUGCUUUGACGUUUGACAGCACAGCGCAGCUGUUUUAGCGAAUUAUAAUUGUGAUCCAUAAAUAUUUCUCUGGGCCUGAUGUAGUAUUUCUAGCUAUGAAUUUGGACAACUGUGAAUCGAAAUUCAUAGCCAAAAGUUGCUUUAUUUUAGGGCGGAGGUAGUAGCAUUUUUCUGUAAUAAAUUGUAGCUGAUUUAAGUUAGCCGUUUUCUGUUACAUUUCAGCAACAAUGUUUAAGAUUAUAAAGGAGAUGUUGCCCCCUGAUGUUCGAGUGGCAAGAGAUGCACAAGAUCUUCUUGUGGAAUGCUGUGUAGGUAAGAGAAGUUGGUACUAUUUUUAAUCAAGAAUAUGAACAGUGUAUUUUUAAUCUUACAAAGUUAUCCGUUUUAAAAACAGUCUGGUGGACCAUUGUGACGUUAUUAUCUGGUAAAAUUUAGUCAAAUCUGACUGGAUGUAUUUACAAUUCUAAGUUUUCUAUGUUUAAUCAUUAAUGUAAAAGAGAAUUAAGGGUAUUUACGAUUUUAAGUGUUCUAUGUUUAGUCAAGUCUGACUGGAUGUAUUUACGAUUCUAAUGCAAAAUCUAUUGUGGCCCGUAAAAAAAAUGGUAGGGUCGAUAUCUGAUUUGUGUAUAGUAUUGUUAAUCACAUACCGUAUUUUCCUGCCUGGAGCAUAAAAUCCAUACUCUCACCAAAUUUAUUCAUGUUAUAAUCCCUCCAUGUUGUGAGUUCCUUAAACAUUAAAAUAAGUUAUUCCCCAAACAGUUUGGAUAUUUUCUUGGAUGUCUCUUGCAAGAUGUCUCUUGCAACUUUCAACCUUAUUUCAACCUAAGGGAUAUUGGUUGUAAAAAAUAGCUGAAAUUUCUCCCUUUCUGGAUCUAAUCACAAUAUGCAUAUUUUUUAUAUAUCAGAGUUCAUCAACCUCCUAUCUUCUGAAUCCAAUGAAGUUUGCAGCCGAGAGGACAAGAAAACUAUUGCUCCUGAGCAUGUUCUUAGAGCUCUGCAGGUUUGCCUUUCAUUUCCUGAAUAUUAACAUUAUUUUUUAUCACUUAUGAUGCUGUCCUACCUGUUUUAUCAUGGUCGUAGUUUUGUAGUAUAUUGUCAAUAUUUUUUCCUUAUGAUUAUGGACCUUAUCUAUAUUGUUUCAGUAUACUGCAAAAUAAAGAUAAAAAUAACAGAAUGCCUGGAACAGAGUAAAAGGGGAAUAUAUGAAUGUUUCUUUUUUGAAAAUGAAGGAUUUGAGUAUCUUAGAGCUCUUUUUCUGAGUGCAAAUUGGUUAUGACUAUUGACUAAAGUCUGAAACUAAAAUGCUGAAUUUGUCUGAUGGCAGUUCAGAUAUCUAUAUGCCAUGGAAUGCUAUUACUACACAGCUAAAACUGAUCUGCACAUAUGUGUUCAUUUGUUAACAUGAUUUUAGGGGGCUGAAAGUAGAAUUGGGCUUGGACUACCCAAUUGAGUGUGGUCUUAAACUCGUACUCCAUUUUGGGCCCUGGUGGACUUUUUUCGGUUAGAUCAUGGAUAUGUAUUGAACAAGGUCCAAUGGAAACAUUUCAAUGGAAACAUUUCAAUAGUAAAAUACUUCUUGGGCAGGAGUUGAGCCUCAACAUUUGAUGUCCAAUGUUAAAACACACCAUGAAGUUCAGAAGUUGUUGACAGCCACAUUCACUCGGCGAUAACCACAUGAUGGAAAUUUUUAUGGUGGAUGUUGUUGCCUCAUCGCAUUGCAAUGCUAAGCAGUGGCUUAGCAUUGGCUACGGUUCAUAGGACCUCAACAUUCUCCUUGCUCCCUUGUCUUCCUUCAUGGAGUGUUGUGCUUUCUUCCUGGGAGAUGUACUUUUGCUUCUACAUGAUUCAAACAUCAAGUCUUGAAAAGCUCGAAUUUUUUUUUUUUGUAAAUGAAAAAAUAUGUAUAGAACCAGCUGAGAACCUUGUUUUAACCAAACACUCAGGCUCCAGGUUCCGGAACCCUGCAGUGUAAACCUAUUUCUGGCUGAUCUACCUUUGAAAUAAUUGUUUUCCAACUAGUAGUUGGUACUCGCCAAUAUGUGAAAUCUCCAGACUUAUUUCAGUUUUUUUUUUCAUUUUGGCAGGAUCUUGGCUUUAGGGAGUACAUUGAAGAGGUUCAAGCGGCCUACGAACACCAUAAGCAUGAUACCCUGGUUUGUACUAUUUUUUUCCCACAGAGAUAUGCAUAGUAUCCAUCAUCUAUGCAGGAUACAUUGACACUAUUUUUUCAUCGAGCAGGAUUCUCCAAAAGCAAGCAAAUUCACUGGUGUGGAGAUGACAGAGGAACAAGCUGUAGCUGAGCAACAGAGGAUGUUUGCUGAGGCCCGAGCAAGGAUGAACAAUGGUGCCGCCAAACCGAAGGAGCCAGAACCUGAAGCGCAGCAACAAACACAACAGCCACCACAGCCUCAGCUGCACCCUCAACCACAGCAACCCCUGCAGCCUCAACUUCAGCUCCAUCCUCAACCACAACAACAGCCCUCACAGCUACAUCCUCAACAGCUGCUGCAUCCUCAAUCGCAGCAAACUCCGCAGCCUCAACCUCAGGUCCACCCUCAACCACAGCAGCCUCCACAGCUGCAACCGCAACCUCAGCUUCUCCAGCAACCGCAGCUGCCCCAACAGCUGCAGCCGCAAUCUCAGCUCCCCCCACAACCGCAGCAGCCCCCACAGCUGCAGCUGCAAUCUCAGCUCCACCCACAACCGCAGCAGCCCCCACAGCUGCAGCCGCAACCUCAGCUCCAUCAGCAACCGCAGCCGCAGGCAGAGCUGCAAUCACAGUCACAACCACAAACAGAACAUGGCUUGGACAGUUCAUGAUUCAGAUUCCAUGUUGUGUAGCCUCAGUAUAAGGAAAAGUUGGUGUACUUCCGCUGGCAUUUACUAGGACUCUGUGUGCCCCUUGAUAGUUUUAGGUUUCCAUGCUUCAUGUACAAUGUAAAUCCAGUGUGAUUUCAGUUACCAUGUUGCUAAUAAUCUGAAGCUCUCUCUAGUCACUGAUGUUAUUACUUUUCCAAACACCCUUUCUCUGACUCUAUGACUGUAGUAGUAUCAUGGCAUGUAUGAUGCCUUGUCAAAAGGGACUCCAUUAGCAGUGUAACUUGACUUUUGCCGAUGGCGAUGGUGAUUUCAGUGACUUGUUAAUUGCAAGGUGCCAUUUGUCUCACUGAAUUGACUGUACACCUUUCUUAUAUUUCGGAGAACCCUAAGCUAUUCUGGCAAUCUUAUUGCUGCAUCUGUUUUUGUGGGCAAUACAUCUGAAGCUGCAUUACACUGUAGUCUAACACCCAAGUUUCAGGAAGACGCUAUGAGAGCAGGUACAAUAGUAGGCUAUAAGCUAACUAUAAACAUAUCUUAAAGAGAUAAAAAGAGAGAGAAUACCAAGUAUUAAUACUAUACUCCCUCCGUUUCAUAAUAUAAGUCAUUCUAGCAUUUCCCACAUUCAUAUAGAUGUUAAUGAAUGUAGACAUAUGUCUAUAUUCAUUAACAUAUAUUCAUUAACAUCUAUAUGAAUGUGGGAAAUGCUAGAAUAACUUAUAUUGUGAAACAGAGGUAGUAGUAAGCAACUAUUGUAUGAAUUAUUAACAUCAAUAUGAAUGUGAAAAAUACUAGAAUAACUUACAUUGUGAAACGGAGGAAGUAAUAAGCAACUAUUGUAUGAAUUGGCUAUUACAUUGACUAUAGAUGAUUUGGAGCUAGUAGUUGGCUAUACCAUUAAACUUGCUCUGAAUGCGCCCUCUUGUGUUUUAACGGUUUAACCAUGUAAAUUGUGAAUUAGCCAAGGCAAUGAAGCAGUCCACUACUUCCAUAAGUUUUGGUUACUGCAAAAUUCAAGUUCAACAUCAUAGCUAAUCACCAUAACCGUGCAUGAAACCAAGGCUUGCAUUACAGAAAAGAUGCCAAAUAGCACAUGAAAACUGAGAAAGCAGGGCCUCCAUAUAUCAGUGAUAUCACAUCGAUUAUUUUAUUAAAUUAAAGAAGAUAACAGUUAAACAGUCCACACACAAAGACAUGAUCACACAUGUCAUACAACACACUGAUACUGGCACAAGCUGACAAAAGCACAGCUACUAAUACAUCAUUAACCACAACCAUCUCCCCACUUGUUGCUACUUCUAAUUACCAUCACAAAUCUAACUAAUCCCGUUGACUUACUCCAACCUUGAAGCUUUUAUUAUAUAUAUAAAAUAUAUAUAAUUGCACACACAUAUAUACACGUAUCAAACUUUUAACGCACCAUGGAAGAGAGCCAAAUGUAGCAUCACCGAGGAGGAAUAAUAAUUUAAUUAACCAGCUUAAUUGAUACUCCCUCCGUUUCAGGUUAUAAAACGUUUUGAUUUUGGUCAAAGUCAAACUGCUUUAAGUUUUACUAAGUUUGUAGAAAAAACUAGUAACAUUUUUAACUCAAGACAAAUUUAUUAUGAAAAUAUAUUCAAUUAUUGUUUUGAUAAAACUAAUUUAGUAUUAUAAAUAUUGCUAUAUUUAUCUGUAAACUUAGUCAAACUUGAAACUGUUUGACUUUGACCAAAGUCAAAACGUAUUAUAACCUGAAACGGAGAGAGUAAUAAGAAGUGAUGUGACGACAUUUCACUUGCAGGUGGCGACGAGGACUCGGCGGGGCGGCAGCGAGGGGCGGCGGCCGUGGAGGGUGGCGAGGUUGUCGAGGAUGAGCACGUCGCCCACCUCCCACCGGAACUGGAUGCUCUCCUCCUCGAUGAUCUCGCCGCACCGCGCCACGAACGCCGUUGGGAUCUCGGCGCCGUCCGCCAUCGUCGCCGAGCUCAGUGCCUUCCCGUGCAUCCCCACCACCGUGUUGAACCACAUCCGCCGACCCUGCCGCCCCGGGAAGACUCGCGUCAGCUUCCUCGGCCCUAGGAUCGUCCUCGCCCCGCCGUUCGCCAGCCACUCCACCUCCAUCCCUAGCGCCCGAGCCCUGAAUACGCACACAUGGCCCAUUAGAGCAAGGAUAAAAGUGCGCUAUAAGUUAACUGUAUGCUUACGUGGAGGACAGAGCCAACAAAGAAAAAAGAAGGUGUUGGCUCUCAUGCAAUAUUUACUCUGCACGUACUCCAAGACAAAUACAUUGAAUGCAUAAGUGAGAGAAUAGUUAGGAGAAGAAAAAUUGAACACAAUCUAACAACUAAUCUAUUAUAUAUAUUGGCAAUAGGAUUACUAAUAAUUGACAGUCAGCUUUACUAUUAAACUUGCUCUUAGACGGUGAUGAAUUAAUAUUCCUAAUUUCCUAUGGAUUGGUCUGGGAAACUAUACUAAUUGUAUCACAUAUAUCUCUUUCAUAAAUAGCAAAGUCAUGUUUCCAAUUAUGCAAAACAAAACAUACACGUGCACAUACCACAUGGCACGUUUCCGAAUGCGCACUCUAACCCAUAAAAAUACGAAGGCUAGAGCCAAAAUCAAUGAUUAAAAUAAAUGUAUUGAAACUGUGUGGAUGUGUGCAUUAUAAAUGGUUGGAAUAAUGAUUAGUUGAACUCUAGUGAACGUCACGUGCCUAUGACUUCAUCACCCCUUUUUUAAUGCAAAAUUAAAUUUAGUCUAAAAAAAGUAAAAAAACAUAUUAAAUUGGAGUAUGAAAAAGUAUACUCGCGUUUGCAUGCGUUUUUUCUUAUGUGUGUAGGUUGAUUUGACCAUAUGUUACAAUAAUUUAACUCGUGUUACCGUUUUAAAUCAUAACUAUUCAAAUCAAAUGCAACAAAUGAGAGCACGUGUCCUAGAGUACGACUUAAAAUCCACUUCGGUAUUACAGAUGCUACUUGCAUUGAUUUUGUUGGUUCUGAUAACAGGUGAAUUUUGCCGGCUUUGGUGAUUAAGUUAUGAGAAAUGGAGCAUUCGUGUUAACAAACAUCUUCACCAGAUGGUGCAUUCAUACUUUAGCAUCCGUCCGUCCUAUGACGUGAACUUUGACAUAUAUUCUAAACUUUUAUAACAUCUACAUGCAAUUUUUUUUAAUUAUUGGCUUUAUUACCAUAUUGAGAUUUGGUGCGAUUUUGACCAUAUAUUAAAUUACAAUUUCAACCAACAGUGUAUAUAUGUGAAUUUAUUUAGUUACAUUGAGAUUAUUGCAACUCUGAAAAAUGCAAUUUCAACCAACAAAACCGUAUAUUGCUCGGUUUAAUUGGUUAUAAUUUAUAAAACUUAAGCUGACAGGGAAAGACACGCAACACUAGAAUUGUAGGUCAAUUACCUCUUCUCGGCCUCGGCCUUGUCGGUGGUGGCGAAGGCGUCCUCCCACCCUCGGCCGCGCAUGGACUUGGUGUCGUUCUUGCUCAGCGCCGUGAACGUGUACCGGAGGCCCUUCUCGUCGAGCUCCUCCACCAUCUCCGGGAACUCCUCCAUCACCCUCUCCGUGACCCUGAAGCUCGGCACGAACGGCGUCUCCCCUCCCUCCGGCGGCGCCACCUCGCAGAACAGUAUCACCUUCCCCGGGAACUCCUUUAUCUGCAAUUAACCCACCACACGGACGAACACCUUCGUGUCAAUGGCGGCGGCGACACGGACGAACACCUUGUCGUCAAUGGCGACGCGACGCGGCGGCGGUGGCCGAGUACUACGUACGUACCAGGACCAUCUCGUGGUGGUAGUAGAUGAACUCGUCGAGGGGGCCCUCGUUGGCGGUCCAGACGCGGCCGUGGACGUGGGUGCGAGGCGCCGGGCCGACGUACCGGAUGUCCGGCCACCCCAGGGCGCCCACCACGGCGUCGAACUCGGCAGCGUCGCGCACGCCGAACCCGCGCAGCAGCACGGCGCUGUUCGACACCACCUUCGCCUCCACCCACUCGCGCCUCGCGCGCAGCGCCGCCGCCAGCGCCUCGCCGCCUCGCUCGCCGGAGCCGGACGACGCCGGCGUCAGCACCAGCGGCACCUGCUCGCCGUCGAUGGUCUUCUGGCCGUCGCACUCCCCCACGCUGAAGAACUCGCCGUCGCCGCCCAUGGCGUCGUACGUCGAUCGUUGCAAGAAACAAGAAAGCAAGUGCAAUGUGGUGUGGUGGUAGUAGUUGCAGUUUGCAGGUGUAUAUGUGUGUGUAUAAAUAUGGAGAGGAAGUGGAUGCAGACACGGAGAGCGCGACAAGGUUCAAAAACGAUGAAAGAAAGGAUAAUACAUUUAUCUCCACAAAGAUUCGUGAUGGAGAGAACAAGUAAAGCGAAGGAAACUAUGCACUAGUAAGUUUCAACCUCAUCUACAACUCUAAAAAAACAAAUAAAAUCAUGGUCUCUGCUCAGGUUGGUAGAUUCUAAGUAUUAGGCUUAACGUGUGUGCUCAUAUAUUUUUUAAAAAAAACCUUAAUAAAUAAUAUAUCUCCCUGCUAUGUGUGGCUCGCGGCUAUAUCAGUAUCGGUAAAAAAAAACAAUAUAGUGCAAGAAAAAAAGUGUUUUAAGCACUUGUAAAAACCUUGAAACUAAUUAAAUUAAUGAUUAUAUACAACAUAUAACUCUUAAAGUCGUUCACUUCAUCCUCUGAACUUGACUAAAACCAUGUUAUUUUGAAGAUAAUUAAAAUAGAACGGGUUUGCAGCCACAACAGGGGAAAAAGAACUAAAACAAACUACUACUCGCUCCAUUCCAAAAUAUAUAAGUAAUUUUAAUGUCAAAAUAUAAUCAUUUCUAACACCACGUGUCUUACAAGCACAUAUCAUUCAAUUUUUUUCACAUAUUACCCUUAACCUCUCUCAUGCCCUAACCAUAACUCAUUUAAUGAGGGAAUUAUAUUCUUUUCUAUUCAACCUUAACUUUUUGUUUAAAUAAUUAGAAAUGUUUAUAUUUUAAUACGGAUGUAGUAUAAGAGUGAAAAGUAAAUUACUUGGAGAAUAUGUUGAGCUUUUUUCGUUCUUGGCAGAUUUACAGACUGCCAAAGUAGUCGAAGAUUUUGUUUUAAAAGAUGAAAAAUGAAGACCAAGAUUAAUUGUUGCUCAUCGACCAAUAUCAAGCUACUAGGUGCCUCCUACAGAUGCAACAAUGAAGCUGAUUUACCCAAUGGCGCUGGUUCCGGUUUUAGUUUGAGAGGGCCCAUGGUAAUUAGGAGGUAAAACCGCCAUGGUCUUAGUUUCCACCGCUAAGAUGAUCUUAUUAUGCGUGUCCUUGCAAUACUGGUUCUAACUAAACUUUGUCAUAUUUGACCGGCGAAAAUAACUCUAUUGUCUUGUGUGCAGCUAACUCCUGCGAUAUGUACACCAUAUUGGUCAUGGUCUUCAAAAUAUAAGAAAAAAAAGAAAAGAAUUACCACGCUCUCGUCAGUGCUUGCAUAUUAAUUCCCAAUACAAUGCCCAUAAAAAAAACCUAAUGAAAUGUACUCCGUUCGGGUUUUAAUAUAUGACACCUAUAAUUUUUUAAUAUAUUUUCUAUCCGUUUUAUUUAAUUAUUAUUAUUAUUUUGCUGUGACUUGAUUUAUCAUUAAAGAUUGUAUAAAAAUAUUUUAUAUUCUUUUAUGUUUGCACGAAAUUUUGGUAUCGUAUAGGGUAUGACAGUUGGAGACUCCAAAUUCUGGAGCAGAUAUCCCUAUGGAAAGGAGAGAAUAUUACUUAAUUUGAAACCGCACUGACUAGCACUGGUGAUUAUAUAUAGGAGUAUAAUUGAGAACAAGGCAACCUGACAGAUGGAUGGAAGCUAGUGCACUUGAGAAUUUUGAGGUUGAUGACCGUGCUUAAUGAGGUGGUUGGACGGCUUGACUAGCUAGUUAGUUUUGUUGUUUUAGAUUAUGCACGCCCAAUGAUUUCAGUACAAGAUGUUGAGAGCUAUUGUUCAAAGGAUUGUUCUUCAUAGUUAAUUUACCCAAAUUACAACAUUAAUUUAACAGGAGUUAGGUAUACGUGUGUGUAAAAUAAAUAAAGGGGGACUUUAAAUUCUCUGUUUUGCUUUGGGUUUAUGGGGUGAAAAAAGAAACAGGUAUAAAGUUUUUACAAGCGUAUAAAUUUCAAUGUUACCAAAUAAACCCUCGUGUUUCUGUCAUUUUAACAGCAUAGUUUUGUUAGUCGCUUCUAUUUCCCUUUUACCAUUGCAUAAUGUUCAACAAGUUUUUUUUUAUUUUAUCGGGUCAAAAAAACAUGUAGUUUGGGCAUUUAUAUGCUUGUUAAUUAAUGUUAAUGUUUCAAUCCAAUAUAAAAAUGCGUACGCCGAGCCUAGCCAAUCCAAUAUAAAAAAGACGUGUCUCUUCUAUUCCUUCUAUUUCAAAAUAAACAAAUCUAAUAUGAGAUAUGACAUAUCCUAAUACCAACAUCCUGUACUAGAUUUAUUUAUUUUGAGUUAGAGGAAUUACAUUAUAUUUCUUGCCAGUCCUUGACAUAACAACUAUCACAUUCAUAGCCCUUUUUAGGCUGUAACCCCUCCUCCCUGGCACGCAAAACGAGGUUCAUUUCAUUGCAUGAUUAAUUAAGUAUUAACAAAUUUUUUUUGAAAAAUUGAUUAAUAUGAUUUUUUUAAACAACUUUCAUAUAGAAAGUAUUUCAUAAAUCACACCGUUUAGCAGUUUGAAAAGCGUGCACGAGAAAAACGAGAGAAAUGGGUUAAAAAAAUGGGGGGAAGAACACACUACUAUGUUCCAUAAAAAGGCAAACUCUAGGGGUGUGUUUGGAAUGAGAAAUGUGGGGUGGGAUUGGAAUUAGGAAAUAAAUGAAGGGUUAAGAUUAAAUGGAAGAGAGAAUGAAUAAUUAAGAUUUAAAGAUAUCUUUUGGUGGGUGGGAAAUCAUUUUCCUAUCCCAUUAGUCAAACACUGCCUAGCUACGAACAUGUACAAGUAUUUAUCCAGAUUCAUAUGUAGAGUGAACUCUUUUUUUUUUUUUUUUUGAUGGAGGCGUAGGUGUUCAGGCGCUUGCGUAAAAUUAGUACUCCACAACAACUAAGCAGAAAGCGUACACAUGAAAGACGCUUCUCCCUUAGGAAUACGUAUUCACUAGUUCACACUUGGUCAGCUCGAAAGGAAGAAAAAAAAAUUGUUGGCGUCUUUGCUUCUCCUCGUCUCCCUCCUCCUCCUUCCCCUCCGGCGCUCGAUCUCGCUGAGUCGCCGCACACCAUUUUGGCGAUGGCGGCGGCGCCGGCGGCGAGGUUCCCGGUGUUCGGGAUCGUGCGGCUGCUGGGCCUGGCGGCCGCGGCGGCCAUCGUCGUCUGGGCCGUCCACUUCCGCGGCGGGAUGGCGCUCUCCUCCGAGACGGACAAGCUCCUCAUCUUCAACGUAAUAAUAAUGGAGUAUUCUCGAGAGAUCCCUGCCUCUGUAUAUAUAUCUCUAGCCCCCCUGGCCCGCGGAUCGCGCGCUGAUCUUGGUGGUGUCUCUGUCUGUGUGCGGGAAUAAUCUGAUCUGUUGUUUUCCCAAGGUUUCGAUCGAGUUCUUGUGUAUUGACCCAGCGAAGAUGCAAUGCGAGGGCUUUCUUUUGUUGCGUAUUUCGGAGGUUUAGGAGAGUUUUUUUUUUUGGCUGCUGCGUGUAGUGAAUUUGGAUUGGAGGAAGGGUUUAGCUUUUUUGCAAGAAGUUAAUUACAAGGGGAGAAUUUUGAAUUCUGGGAAGCUGACAAUCGAGCCUGAUGCAUUUCGAAGGAGUUUAGCGCUCUCUUCUAGGGAUAUUUUAGACCUGAGAUGAUUUGGGUUCGUGUGAUGACUUCAUGGGUGUGAUAUCUUAGGCGUCUUUUGUUUUAGUGAGUGCUAAGCUUUGUUUGUUUCGUUUUUCUCACUCCAUUUGCUCAAGUUUGUAAUUUUGGGCUACAUUAAUAGGAUUACCAAACUGCACCACAUCCCUUGUUCGAGAUCGUUGUACAUUGCCAUUGGACUAUGUUCCUGAAGUUUGUCGUUAAUGGCUCAAAGUUAUUCUAAAUUUUUAAUGAAAAGGGAAAGAAAACCCUUUUCAGAAUGAAAAUGAGAGAAGAUUUGAAGGCUUGGUUGGAUAGUAAGUUUGUAACAAGCCUGGAAAUCUUUUGAAGUUUUGGCUUCUUAAUUGUUGACAUUUAAGUGAUGAACAAAAAAAAAGCAUCGACUACCGAGGAUAAUUAAUUAUUUCAGAGUACUUGAGUCCUGCAGUUAGAUCAUUUUAGUUCAGGGAGGAAAAUGCAUAUGCACUUGGAUAGCCACCUAAAUCAUUUAAUAGGCAGCACCACAAGAAGCAACUUUCAGCAUUAUAGCACAUGAGAAAGACAACAAGAAGCAAUUCAUGCUUUGUUCUGAGAAUUGUUUUUGAGUUAUCUUUUUCUGGUUUUACACCAGUAAGCCUGUCUUUCACAAAUAGAAUCACCAUUUGUGGUGCUGUCUAGGAAGACUUUGAGGGAGCUUUUACUCCAUACAUACUGUAACUCUACUUGUAUUCCUACGUGGGCAUGAUUACUAGGGAAGGGAAUUUAUAUCACUGAACAUAAUGGUUUUACCGAUUGUAGAAUAAUAACACAUGUGGAAUUACUAGGGAAGGGAAUUUAUAUUAAUUUAUGUGGAUACCUACGAAAAGAAGGUGAAAGUAGCUAGUACAUGGCACUCUCUUUGGUUAGCAUUUACACACGUGUGCGUGCACUGCGGUUCACGCACAAAAGAGCAGAGUGGCCCUAGAAAAUAAACAGUAAAGUUUUCUGCCAGCUAGUGAACAUGAUUUUGUCCUAUCUUGGGCAAUUGAAAGUUUUUGUGUAAUAUUCUGUUCCAUAUUUUGCUAAAUAAGGCUGGGAAAUGAAUUAAGCAGCCAACUAUGUAAUAUUUUUACUUAUACAUUUAAUCAACAUAUAUUAUACAUUUAAUCAACAUAUAAUCUAAAAUAAUAAUUUCCAUGUCCUCAAGUGGUUUGAAUUUUGAAACUUCGAAUGUGCUUUAUUUCAUGUAAACAACUGAUUUGUAGGUUUUGCCGGCUAAAAAAUGUGGGUUUGAGUUGCGUUCGCUAGAUAGUAAUGUUAAUUGAUGAAUUGAUUACAUAAAUCCCAUCUUGUUAUGAUAUUAAAACUGCCUUCUGUUAUUUCAGGUUCACCCAGUAUUGAUGCUGAUUGGAUUGGUAGUCCUGAAUGGGGAAGGUAGUGUGUUAACCACUAUUGAACUCCAAUCGAAUUGGAUCUUGGAAUGGCCUUCAUGUUGGCUUGUUGCAUAUAAAUAUUUUUAUUGCUUCAUUAAACAGGAUACAGAGUUUACUGUUUUUUCGAUUUAUGCAUACAUCUAACUGUAGCAUUUUUCAGAUAUGCAAAAUAUCAUGCCUCUGUAUUUUCAUGCAGUACAGCAUGAACAAAAAAUAAUGACAUUGAGACAUCCUAGGUAGAUUAUAUACAGUUUCCUUGAUACUCGAUACAUGUCAAAAUCAAGUACCAAGGAACCAGGAAGGGGCUGUUCACUUUGACGCCAUUUUCAACCAUAUCAUUUUUUGGCAAAGUUACCAAAAAAGUGGCUACAUUUAGUUUGUUGUCAAAUUUAGUAAAUACAUAAGAAAUCCUGCCAAAAUUUGGUAAUAUUGUCAAUAUUGCCAAAAUUUUGACAUUGCCAAAAUUUGGUAAGGUUUAUUUUGGCAUCAAAGUGAACAACCCCGAAGUAAGAUAUUUACACCUAAUGAUACUUGGUCCUGGCUGAAUAGUAUUUGAUUUACCCAAAUCAACACCUAGUUCCAUAUUUUUCUUCAAAAGCUUAGUUGGAGAUAUAAAACCAAAAAAGAGUUGCUGAAUUUACUUUUUCUGUCACUUUCUAGCUAUUUCCUAUUGAAUUGGUUACCAAAUUACUCUUUUCCGAUUGAAACAUUCAAAUUGGUAGUUCUUGUCUGUAGCUAGAAAAUUUAUCGACUUAGCAGAAACCACUCCAGGCCCUUGUUCUGAGGACUAAUGUGAUUAUAAUUUAUUUGCAUUAUAUUACAUAUGCACCCAAAUCAAUACCCUUCUAUGUAGGUCGUACAAAAAAAAGUUCAUUCAUCAAACUCUGGGAAAAAAGGGAAUUCAUCUUAACUAGUUUGAAUUAGCUUCAUGAUAUAUGGUCACUUAUAAACUAAACUCAAUUAGUGCAAACUAACAGAAAUCAGUUUGAACUGAGUUAUGUAUAUGAAGGGAAAAACUCUGAAUUUUGAUAUUGAUCAUACAUGCGUAUCAAACAGUCUAGAAAUGAGUGUCUAUGCAUCAAGGUGCCUCAUGUAAUUUACUGGACAUAAAAGGCAUAGUUUUUAUAGUGUGUUAUAAUAAAUGGCAAUAAGGUUUUAAUGGAUCGCUUAUGGUUCUGCAUGCAGCAAUUUUGGCCUACAAGACAGUGCCAGGAACCAAGAAACUGAAGAAGCUAGUACACCUUGCCUUGCAGUUCCUCGCCAUGCUCCUGAGUCUGAUUGGGCUCUGGACUGUAUGGAAGUUCCACGAUGAGAGACAGAUCGACCACUUAUAUACGCUUCACUCCUGGUUGGGCCUUUCUUGCAUCAUCUUCUUCAGCUUGCAGGUAGAUAUUGAACUAUGCUCUUUUCAGUAAACAUAAAAAUAUGUAAAGAGGUUUGCUUCCAACAUAUUCUCAUCUUUAUCGUUGAUAUCUCUACAGUGGGCUACUGGAUUUUAUACAUUUUGGUACCCUGGUGGAUCUAGGAGUGGAAGAGCCUCCCUGCUCCCCUGGCAUGUCUUCUUCGGCCUCUUCCUUUACGUUCUCGCCAUCGCCACAAGCGUUUCGGGACUUCUGGAGAAGUCGAUCUUCAUGCAGAGCGCAAAAAUGAUCGGGCGUUUCUCGACAGAAGCUAUGUUUAUGAACUCGUUGGGGAUGUUGCUGGUGCUAUUGGGGGCUCUUGUCAUACUUGCAGUUGUUACUCCUGGAGUUGGCAAGAUCGAUACAUACCGAGGCUCAUCAGAGUGAGAGGGAGGCGGCGCGCUGUAGUUCUUGAGAUGCAGUUAGUUCUGAACGACAUUUCUGGCUCCAACUGAGGAAUUUAUCUGUACAUCCCAUUUUCACUGGAAUUAUUGUUACCUGUUUAGAUCUGAUGAAGAGAGUUAUUUGUCGGUACACUUUUUAAGUUGUAGUGGUAGAUUGAUGAUCAAAUUGACAUAAAUUACGGCGAAAUCCAUUCUGGAGGACGUGGGCCCCGAGAUGUUUGGGUGUUCUUAAUGUAUGAAGGAAUACGGAAAAAGGAAAGCAGUUUUGUAUGCUUAACAAUAACAAUUAAUCAUCCCAUAAAAUCGCUAUUCUUGUUAUACUUUGGAAAGUGUGAGUACGUGCAAAUGGUCUUGUGUGCAUGAUUUGUGAUGCCAAUGCAACCUAGAUCCGGUUUCCUGUACGAAUUGCAAUGCUAACCCUGGUGAUCAAUAUUGUUCAUACCAGAUGAUACGACACUUGAUAAGAUAAUAAUAUCCUCGUGUGGUUGCCCAAACACUUGGCCUCGUUCGUUUAAUCCCCAGACCAAGGGGAUUGAGGGAAUUGGAGGAUAAAAUUCCACACCUAUGUUCUCCCCCAAUCUCCUUCAAUCCAUUUUGGGAUUAAAAGAACAAGCCCUAAGCAUGUUAGUAACCACAUCGUUAACCUCAAAUAACUUCACAAACAUAGUAUGCAGCACAAGGGAGAAUUAGACAAGCAAUUAGGAUAAAUGCAUCUGGAUUCUCAGUGCAUAGAAGAACAAAAUCAUUUGCUGAUCAUCCCGACUCGGAACAGAUUUUCUUUGAACUAAACACACAUGAACAGAGUGGAUAACAACCAUAAAACUACCAGCCUAGCACGGACGGACGGGGGUAGUUCAUACUUCAUGGCGUUGCUACUGUUUUGUUCGGCCACUACUACUACUACCACAUGACUGAUAUUGUUGGUCUAAUUACAGAAGAAAAGGAAACAGACUCCAAUCUAAUGCCAUUUGAACACCGCCCAUUGUACUGAUGAUCACUAGCUGCUUAGCAUAUCACCUACACAGCACCAUGUUGUCACCAAAGCCUGUCAACCUCCAGCACAGAAAGAUGGAAUCCAAACUCCUGCAAGCCCAGAAAAGAUCACCCGUUAGCUCAAUCUAACAUUUUUGAAUAGUAUAUAUUUCCAAAGAGAGCAUAACAGGAUCACUGAUAGAACCAUAAUCGCUGUAUCGGACCAUAUCCACGCUAGAGGGGAGUACAUAAUUAUUACCAGAACCAGCAUGCAUAACAUUAACCAGCACAUUACAAAUAUCUCAAAUCAGCAUUAUAUGUUCCAAGCAACAUAAUCAGAACUUGAACAUAUCUCAGCUUUUUUUGGUCAGGAUGAAACCGUUUCAUAUAUGUUUCAAGCAGGUGGAGCUAGCUCCUUGGACUUUGGACCAUCUCCAUCUUACAAGAAAAUAUUACCCUAAGGCUAAGAGUGAAUGGACACCCAUGCGGAUAAAGAGAUUAAGCAAAUAUUGAAUGCUGUUUGUUUUGAUUUUCAAGGGCUCAAUCAGGCUUUGAAGAGUUACAUGGUGACUGCUAGUCGUGUGCUUUGUUUAUUUCUGGGCAAGGCUAUGACCCAAAUACUAAAAAUCAAAAUGGAUUCAACUAGCAGUAAUAAACAAGGCAACAAAAUGGUUUUAACUGGAAAAACUUUGAAGCACUCUUGAGUCUUAAUCAAUCCAAACAGGCCUAUUUCAUGAAAAGCAUAUGGUAUCCCAGAAUCCCUUGGAUCAUAUAGUUACAACAAAAGAAAUAUAAAACUAAUUCUCUUUUCAGAUUAUGCUGGAAUGGAUCCCCAUACUUAUUCAAACAUGGAGCAAGAUCAAGAACUAAACACAAACCAAAUAAAGCAGGUCAAAUUACAUAAAUUAUAUGUGCAGCUCAUAUCACAGGAAAGCACACGGCACCCUGGCUAUUGAUGAAUUAACGCUCACUCUAUUCAGGCUAGAAACUGCAUGGCAAAAAGAAAAAUAAUAUUUAUUUCCAUUAGCAGGUGUUCAUGUAAUUUUAGCUCUUUUACUUCAUGUUGGAACUAAUUCUCUAUCUGGUAGUAUAUUUUAGACAUGCUCUCCUUUUUGGCACCAAAUCAUGGUCUAGAUACUGAAAAUUUUAAAAAAAGAUCACCUCAGGCUGUGAAGGGCAAGAUGCUACUGUGCAACUCUUUCUUCCUUGACCUCUGGUCCUCUGACUUUGUUAUCCUUGUGCUUCUUUGAUACAUGGACAGCUUGCUCAGAUGGGUUGGAAGCUGGCUCAGCUGCUGGUCUGACUUUGGGUUCCUCAGCAGCGACUAGAGGGGCAAAUAGAGCUUGUGGCACAGAAAGCAUGUCGAUUUCUCCAUCUAGCAGCGGUUUAACAACAGUUAGCACUUGAAAUAUAAAAAAAUGUUGGUGCAUUGAUUUACUGGAAAAAACAGCAUGCUGGUUACACCAAAUUAAACAUACCAUAUAGUUUGAAUAUGGAAGGGGGUGUGAAUUUUAUAGGAGCAAAAGGAAGUUUCUUGUUUGUUGGAUUACUGUCGAUUCCUUUGUUGUACCCAGAAGGUGAGAUUGCCCUGAUGAGCUUUUCCUUCGAUCUAACAAUUUUCGCCAUGGAAGUGUAAUUUGUAGCUGGAAGACCAACCGAACUAUUAGUUGUUAACUUAUACUCUUGCAAGUUUGGUCACACAAUAAAAGCAGUUCAAGAAAGAUGGUGGUGAUCCUUUUUUUCAGUCAUGAAGAAUGGAACUCAUGUUACCUAAAAGUGACUUGACCGCAGCACGAGCUGCCUUCUGCUCUGCGUCCUUCUUGUUUCUUGCAGCUCCACCAGUAUAAGUAUGCCCAGCAAAUGACACAGAUGAAACAUAUGGAGUCACGGACCCUUCUGUCUUGGUUACAGAGUAUUCUGGUUGAUCAGUUUUUGUCUUAGUAGUAUAUUCAUGAAGAAUUGAUUUGCUGAACACAACAUCCUGAAUGGAAGAAAAAGGAAUGUGUGUUAGAUAGAGGUCUUCAUACUUAUGAAUGUUGAACGUAAAUUUCAAAAGGUGAGAGAACAAGACCAAAAUGUUAGAUUGUACUAAUAAGGUACAUAGUUAGUCUCUGAUUCACUGGCUUCUAAAAUGUAAAUAGUACAAAAAAAGGAGUUGCCAGAGGUAUGCAGCCAGGGUCCUUGAAUUUAAAAGGUGAACAUUAGGUUCCCUCUACAUGUGAGUCAAGUCAAAACAAGAUCUAAAAAUCUAUUUUAUCGGCAAUUAGAGAUGGCAUAAUACUGUCUCAAUCUAAAUAACAAUUAGCCACGUGAUUGUCAUUAUAAACCACAGGACAAUGGAUAAUUGUGGAAUUUAAGAAAAUUCACAUAUUAUUGAACAGAUUUUGUAGGCCUUUAUUGAUCAUUUAGGAACUUCAUGUCCAACGUUUAGCUUAAAAAGGAUCAAAGUGUCACAUAAUCAUUAACCAAUAACUAAGCAUGCAUGCCUUUGACCUCUAUUGAUAAAUGUAUACACACGUAAAUGUUCAGUUCUGAAGUUCAGAGAGCACAGUACAUACAAGACAGUUUACUUCAAAAUAAAUUAUGAUUUCGUUAACAACAUAAAAUGCAAUGUAACCAGACUUCAAGAAAAGAAGCAGUAAUGCUGAAUCACAUAUAAGCAUAGCCAAAUCGUGCUUGUAUUUUUUACUAACACAAUGAAGACCAAAAAAAAAGCGAGAUAUGUUAACAUGAUGUUGCAUAAUUCAGAGCAAAUAUAUAAACAUUACUGCUGAUUAUGUGAAAGAUGGUAAAGAACCAAGACAAUGAAUAGUUCAAAUAAGGUACCUGAUCAAUGAGCUCAAACACAUCUGUAUCAUCAGUCUCAGUCUCUUUCCUUUCAAGCAAGGUAUCAUAGGCUACUUUAGCAGCAUCCUGCUCAGCGUCCUUCACACGUCUAUGACAAAAAGUGGAUGAAAACUCCUCACCAUCCACCAUGACAGUGGAUUUGAACUUAAGCUGAUGGUGUUCACCCUUGCACUUGGUACAGUAGAUUGGCAACUGCUUAUUUGCCUGCUGAAGAUACUCUUGCAAUUUGCUUUUGUAAUUGCAGUGCGCUGCAUAAGUAAAACGGAACAAUCACUAGUUUUUUCACCAGCAAAAUGCUAAAAUGGAUAGCGAUGCAUGUUAUAAUAUGGUCCUAACAUAGGAGAGUCUAAUAUUCAGGUACUGAUCUGUUGCGAUAAUCACAAAAACCAGCUGCUAUAACGCCACAUUCAACACAAAAAGGGCAAGGUAAGCAAUCACACAGUAAUCAGAAUAUCAGAAGUUAUACAUGUAUUCACUGCAAUCUUUGCAAACCAAAAGGGAACAAUUCUAACAAAUAAUUGCAACCUGAGAACAAGGAAUUUGCUGCAUGAACAGCAAACUGCAUGGAAGAAUAACCCGGAAACUCAACGAAAAAUCAGACGCCCUUGGCCACGAAAAAUCAACCCAAUCCAUCCACAAAAAUGCACCUAGGAUGCACCGCCAUUCCACGGACCAUGAAGCAACAUCGCACACAACAAUCAUUAGUUUAUUACUUUAUUUCAUCCUUGUCUCACAAGACCCUGGACUCCACAACUAUUCACCAACAAAAUGCUAAAAUACAUAGUGAGCAUGUAUUAUCCUAUAGUCCUAACAUGGGAGCGUUUGCAAUAUUCAGGUAGUGAUCUGAUGCGAUAAUCACGAAAACCAGCUGCUAUAACAUCCAAAUCCAACACAAAAUGUGAGAGAUGAGCAAUCACACAGUAAUCAGAAUAUCAGAACAUAUUCCCUAUAAAACAAGUCAGUUGCAAAUCCUGCAAACCAAAAAGGAACAAUCCUGACAAAUAACUGCAACCUGAGAACAAGGAAUUUGCUGCACGAAUAGCAAAUCCUAAGGAAGAACGGCACAAAAAUUUGCCGCUCCCUAGAUACUAAUAUACGAAAUCAACAAAAAACCAGACACCCUUGACCGCGAAAAAAUCUACCCAAUUCACCCACACAAACGCACCUAGGCCGCGCCGCCAUUAGCACUGACCAUGAUACACCGACACACACAACGCCACGCUCCCCAAAAAACAAAAACAAAAACAAAAUCUACGAGCACGUAAUCUACCACCGCAACGGUCAUCUUCAGAUCGGGACAUCACCUCACACAAAUCCAUAACUAGAUUCCCUAUCUAAACCAACAGAUUACGCGAUAAAAACGGAGAACGAAAUCCAAGGCCCAACCACGCCGCAAACAAUCUACCAACACAGAUUAAUCCUCCGAUCGAGUCAUCACCUCCACACGAACCCCUAAAUUCCCUAACCCAAUCCAACACAGAUUACACAACGCCACGCUCGAAAAAAAAAACAGAGAACAAAAUCGACGAGCGCGUAAUCCAACAACCCCACCGAUCAUCUCCCGAUCGGGACAACACCACCUCACACGAACCCCCAAAUCCCCUAUCCAACCCAACAGAUUCAACCGAGAAAACGAAAAAUACGGAAAAAACAAACAACCGAGAGCGAUCAGGAGGAGGAGAGGGGGGGGGGGGGGCGAGAGAGGGGGGAAGGGAUGAGGAAUGGGGGGAGAAGAGGACGCACGGGGAGGGGGAGGCAGCGGGGCCGGCGAGUGGUCCGUGCCGGCGGUGGCGGUGUGGGCGACGGCGACGGCGACGGCGAGGGGUUCGGCGGUGGCGGCCGCCAUGCUUGGCCUCUCUCUCUCUGUCUGCGGUGAGGCGGAGACGCGGGGUGGAUUUGAGUCGGAGGCGAGGAGGAAGGAAAUGCGUUGGGACGGUGGGGUUUACAGAGUUGGGUCUCGUGCUCCUCCCCUUAAAUAGACCGAUGGGAAACUUCGAGAAAUGCGGGGAUUUCUGUUGCGCCGUAAAUAUCUAUCUGUUCAUUGGCACACGCCGCGCCCAAUCCCAAACACGAACACAGAACAGUGUGCUCUGCUACGUGUUAUGCACUUAUGUGUGGUGGUUAGGUGAAACCCCCUCUCCCCCAGCUGUUUGAUCUGGGUAUUUUCCUCUUACAAGCAAGUACGAUAACAGGCUAUACAUAAGCUAUAACCAUAUAUCGAGAAGAAAAAAAAGUGAUUAAAAAAACGAGCUACAUAUUUAUAGGCAGCUGCAACACAAACUUUACGUUAUGUGUGUAUGAGAGGUGGGAUCGGGUAUUAAUGGUGUAUUAUAUUUUUAUAUGUAACUAUUGUAUGAAUAGGUUAUUAGAUUAACUAUAGAUGAUUUAUAGCGAGUACUUGGCUAUACUAUUAAACUUGCUCUAACUCUCUCGGCGGCUGCGAUCGUGAUGACUGGGUAGUGAUGGUACGAUGGUGAGGUGGCCGAAUUUAGUCACUUGAUGAUAGGGUGGAGGUGAGAUGGGGGAUUUGGCAGCGGUGGCCGCCAUGCUUAGCCUCUCUCUCCGGUGAGGCGGAGACGAGACAAGGCGAGGCAAGGAGGAGGAAAUGCGUGGGGCGGUGAGAGAUGGGUGGGGUUAAGAGGGUUGGGACUCGUGCUCCUUCCCUUAUAAAAGCAAAUCGAAACUUCGAGAAGUGGGGUUGUUCUAAAAAAAAUCGUGAAGUGGGACUUUUCCGUUUUCCCAUGUUAGGUCAUUGGCACACGCCACGCCACCCCUACCCCUACGAAGUAGUAAUUUCGUUAGUGUGGUGGAAGGUGAAACACAAAACACAAAAGAGUGUGUUGCUAUGUGUGAUGGUGAGGUGAGUCCUCGAGAUGCUUGAUGUAGGUAAUUUUUUCUUUCACCUCCUGCAUGCUGCUAUGUGUGGUUAUAAGUAUGUUUCCAUUCAUCAAAUAGGCAAUUGCUUCCCCGCCAAAAAAAAAUGCCUAUUGCUUGGUAAGAAACAAUUCCCAUGCGCAUCGUUUAUGGGUGUCAUGUACUUACGGCAGUGCCAACUACCACUAUAUUUAACUUACAAUGCAAGCAUUUAUAUUUAACUGAAUGUCAUCAUAGAAAUUAAGCGAGGAAAUAAAUCCUAGGAUGGAUAGAAAUUCGAAAAGGGAGAUUGAUAGAAUUACCUCAAAAGAAAGGGUGGAGAUGGUGGUCGUUGUUGAGUGGCCAACUAACCCCCGGUUGUAGAUCGUCACAUCAUUGGUGGCCAAGACACACAUCAGCAGUGGCAUGACGAAGACCGUAUUCCAAGAUGAGGAAGGCUCAACCGUGAUAGGGAGAGUGUCGGGCAUGAGUCCAUGAUUGUGGAAAAGGGAACUGGAAGAGAUCUAGCAAAGCGAGGGUUUGCUCACCAUUCACCAAAUGGGGCUAGGGUGUGACCUAUGUGCGGCGGUGAGGAACGGGGAUUGGGAUCUGGGAAGGAAGAACCAUAGCAUUGUGUCGACGGGGGAUACCCGUGGACCGGAUACAUAAGGUAUUGGGUUACGCUGGUACGAGGAUCUACGUAGUACGACAUCAAGCAAAUAGGAAACAUGGAUUAUAUUGGUUCAGGCCCCUUGAUAGGUAAUAGCCCUAAUCCAGUUGAUACGGGAUUAUAUGAUGGAAACCACAUAUUACAAAGGGAAUAAUGGAACUCGAUGAUACCGACGAGACCGUAGUCGAGUUGGUCCGACUAGAUCACCCGGCGACUUGGCUCCUACAGGCUUCGACUUCGUAGGCUGUGACGGUUGUGUUGGCGAUGAUAUUCGAUGCCUUAGGCCCUUCCGGGGGGUCCCUUUUAUACCACGGGUCAGUUGAUCUCCAAGUAGAACUCGGAGAAAUCGGACCCCACGCGAUACAGUAACGACCCAGUUCUAUCCGAGUAGGACUCCUUCCAUCCGUAGACUCUGUUUCUGUUACGUGAUGGAUUUCCUUAACAUGUACCGGAAACAUCCGUACACGCGCAGGUAUACCGUAUCAGUAUAUAGCAUACAUCCAAGGGUAGAGGGUAUACCUUAUCCGUAACCCUGACAGUAGCCCCCGACAUCUACUUAAAUGAACUCAUGUGACCGAUCGCGACUUCUGAUGUUGGAAUCGUUGUCGCUCUCAACUGGUCGAUCUCGGUAUGAGAACCAUAGAGACGUAGAGUUAUCGAUAACAUUGCAUGAAGUUCAACGGUCAUGAGUGAAUUUAAAUUGAAGUACGAAAACUGCUGCGCGUAACGGACCUAGAAAUUUCCGGCGGCCAUCUCUCUCCUUUCCUUGGAAUUCGCACCAUCAGUAGUGCGCUUAUUUAAGGGAGUUUUGGGGAUCCAUUUUGAAGUCCGUUUGCUGCAAAACUUUCCAGCCUUCAAACAUCCCUCUUCUUCUCCGCUUCUGUAGAAAAACCCUAGCUUUCCCAUCUUGUCCUGUUCUCCGGCGAUCUUCCGGCAGUGAUGGACCUCGACAAAUCCACCUCCACCAAUGCGUCCCUGAAGAAGCUGCAGGACGACGGUGCCCUCCCUGGUCGCGGGACCAUGCAGAGGGAAACAGGAGGUACUGACCCUGAACCUGUCCUGGGCCGCAUGGUUGCGGUUGAGGAUUACAUUCUUUGCGGUUUUCUUCCUCCGCCUUCCGAGUUUCUUCUUCUCGUCUUGAAUUUCUACAGCCUUUCCUUGCUUCAUCUGAACCCCAAUUCUAUCGCAUUUCUUAGCAUUUUCUCCUAUCUUUGUGAGGCCUACAUUGGGGUAGAGCCAUUUCUUGAUCUCUUCCGCUUCUACUAUGAGUUGCGCUGGAUGGAACCUAAAAAGGUAUCCGGAUGUGUCGGUUUCUGACUUCGGGAUGGCCUGAAGUCACGAUACAUCCCCUUCCAGUGCCCCUCUUCAAAUAGAAAAUUCAGAUCCAGUCUUUGUUGUCCCUGAGGAACAACCAGACAAGAUUACGGAAUGGACCGCCAAACCCGCCCUAACUCCCUCCCUUCGGUCUUUCAUCAAUAUCAUCGAUGACCUCCGAGUACGAGGGUUAUCGGGGUAUGAAGUUGCUGCCGACUCCAUCGGUAGGCAGAUCCAGCCGCUCCAGGCUCGAGCCCACCCAGCCUUUGACUAUUCUGGGCCGGAGGACGCGACCCGGGUUUCUCCUCGGGGUAUUUUUCUUGCAGAGAAAGUCUUUCAGUCUAUGGACUGGCGUUGGCCGUCCUGGUAGUCUUUAUGUCCUGUAAAAAUUAUCUCAAGGAGACGUGUAAUAUUUUUGGAGCAAUUAUGAAUUGUAAGAAGCACUUGUUAAAUAGAAAAGGAAUCUAUCUAACUAAGUUUUCUUACUCUGGAUAUGUUGUGUGUGAGUGUUUUCUCAUUUCGUGACUUCGAUCAGUCGCCUGAGUCAUACACUCUCCCUAGCCCCCAGCCUUGUUGUCGGAGAAACAUUCUCGGAGGAUAAGGCUCCUGGACCCUUGACCUGCCUCGGUUGAAAAAGCACUGACCCUAGCCCCCAGCCGUGAAGUUGGAAAACUCAGUUUCCGAUUACACGGCUUGGUUAAUACGCACGGCGAGAACUCUUACAUGACCAGAUCUUACAUGGUCGUUUGUCUCUACAUGAUCCGACAAGGCCUUAUCCGCUCUGGGCGUCCCCAGCCGAAGUUCUCUUAGGUUCCUCAGAGGCCUUGUCAAGACGGCGUAAAGGGACAUGAGGAUAGGUUUCAACGCUAGGUGUCGUCGUGGUAAGGGAUCAUCGGGAAGGAACACUUUGAUUGUGAUCUUUACCUGAAAAUAAACUUUAUUGAAGCUAUAAGAUGUCUUACAAGUAUGGAUACUAUUAAUUUAUUCAUAGAAUUUACGUAAUUGAUCAAUGUUCGAAGAAUUUGCUAACUCGCGACCAUCGCCGUCUGCAAUCUUGAAUGCACCUGGCCGCAAGACUUGCGUGAUCGUGUACGGUCCUUCCCACUUGGGUGAGAGCUUGUUAUGCCCUGCUUGGCUUUGAACCCAUCGGAGGACGUAGUAGCCGAUCGAAAGCGUGCGUGCUCAGAUGCGCUUCUCGUGGUAUCAACGAAAGGCCUGUUGGUAGCUGGCUGCUCUGACGGCAACUCUUUCUCGAUGUUCCUCGAGUAGAUUCACAUCGUCGUUUCGCUGCUCCUCCUGAUCCUCGUCGGAGUACUUCUGUACUCAUGUGCUCUGAUGUUGUAACUCAUUGGGGAGCAUGGCUUCUGAGCCGUACACGAGGAAGAAGGGUGUCUCCUUGUUGGACGUUGUCGGUGUGGUACGCAUGGCCCAUAGUACAGAGGGAAGUUCUUCAACCCACUUCUUGUCAUGUGACAUCAGUCUGUCGUAGACACGGGUCUUGAUUCCUUGUAGUACUAUGGCGUUUGCCCUCUCGACCGUCCAUUGCUCUGAGGGUGAGAAACCGAGGCGAAGCAGAUCUUGACUCCCAAUCCAAUAUAGUAAUCCUGGAAGUCGGCACUGAUGAACUGGGAGCCGUUGUCCGUUAUGAUGCAGUGAGGCAAUCCAUAUCUGCAGAAUAUCCCUUUAAUGAAUUUGACGGUGUUGUCGGCCUUGAUUUCCCCCGUGGGUGUCGCUUCGAUCCAUUUGGUGAACUUGUCGAUCGCCACGAAUAGGAACCUGUAGCCACCCUGUCCUCGUGGGAAUGGUCCGAGUAUGUCGAACCCCCAGCACGAGAACGGCCAAGUAAGAGGGAUAGUCUGGAGCGCUUGCGCUGGUAGCUUUGUGUGUUUACUGUGAAAUUGGAAGGCUUCACACCGCUGAACCAUGUCGCAAGCGUCUUUGAGGGCGGUCGGCCAUAAAAACCCUUGUCGAAAAGCUUUUCCGACCAAUGUGCGACCGGCGGCGUGUAACCCACAGAUCCCUUCGUGUAUGUCGAGGAGGAGAUGUUUGCCGUCGUCGGACGAGACGCAUUUGAGAAGUAGCCCGUUUAGCGCCUUCUUGUAUAGAUCGUUGUCGAUCAUAUAGUAGAUUUUGGCUUGACGGGUUAUCUUCUCGGCUUCUGCAUCGUCCUCGGAUAACUCGUCACUACUCAGGAACUUGAUGAGUGGGGUCCGCCAGUCGUCUGUUGUCUCAAUGUCGGCAACAGCGCGUUCUGCCUCUGUAGCCCCCGAGCUGAUGUCGGGGACGACUAUGCUAUCUUCGUCGUUUGCCUCUUUCACCGAUGGCUUUGCCAGGAUAUCCAGGAAGAUGCCGGGUUCGAGUGGCUCUCAUCUGGACGCACGCCGUGCUAGGUCGUCAGGUUCGAUGUUGUCCUUACGGUAUACGUGUCGGACCUCGAUUCCAUCAAACCUCUUUUCCAGCUUCCUGACUUCUGCGAGGUACUUAGAUAACUCGGGGCUAGAGCACUUAUAGUCUUUGUGCACCUGGUUUGAGACUAGUUCGGAAUCCCCUUUCAUGAUCAAUCGCUUGACUCCAAGUGCGGCUGCUGCUCUUAUCCCAGCGAGUAGUCCUUCGUACUCGGCUGUGUUGUUGGUCGCCCUGAAGUUGAGGUGAAUUGCAUACUUGAACUGAUCUCCCGAAGGUGAUGUCAAGAUGAACCCAGCCCCUGCUCCUUGGCUGUUGAGUGCACCGUCGAACGCCAUUGUCCAUGUUUCGCUGUCGGUUUGACUGUCCGACCUGUCUUCAAGCACAGUCCAGUCAGCUACGAAAUCGGCGAGGACUUGGGACUUGAUGGCUGUCCGUGGGACAAAAAGGACAUCAAACUGGCUUAGCUCGACUACUCAUUUCACAAUGCGGCCGAUAACAUCUUUGUUUCUCAUGACUUCACCUAGAGGGAAGGAGGAAACAACUGUGACCCUGUGGGCUUGGAAGUAGUGGCAUAGCUUUCUUGAUGUCAUGAUUACUACGUAAAGCAGCUUUUGGAUUUGUGGGUAUCUUGUCUUUGCGUCGUGGAGAGCUUCACUGACGUAAUAAACUGCUCUUUGCACCUUCUCUCUCUCGACAACAAUGACGAUACUCACAGAAUAUGGCGUGGCGGCGAUAUAGAGGAAUAAUUCUUCAUUAGGUUGGGGAGCAACGAGUACAGGGGGAUUUGACAGGUAGCGCUUGAGUGCGAUGAACGCCUCUUCGGCUUCCUGUGUCCAUACAAAUUUGUCUUGUAUCUUCAGCAGAGCGAAGAAGGGUUGUCCUCGUUCUCCCAUCCUAGCAACGAAUCUGCUCAAUGCAGCCAUGCGUCCAGUUAGCUUCUGGACUUCCUUUAGUCUUGUGGGCAACUUCAUAUUCUCGACUGUCUUGAUCUUCUCGGGAUUUGCAUCGAUCCCUCUUUUAGAGACGAGGAACCCUAGGAGUUUGCCCGAUGGUACUCUAAACGUGCACUUCUCUGGAUUGAGCAUGAGGCGAUAUCGUCGGAGGUUGUCGAACAUUUCCCGGAGAUCAUCAAUCAAUGAGUCGCUUGUCUUGGUCUUGACAACAAUGUCAUCGACGUAUGCCUCGACAUUGUUCCCAAGCUGAUCGCUAAGUGCCCCUUGGACCGUGCGUUUGAAAGUAUUUCCUGCGGUUAUCAGUCCAAACGGCAUCUUAACGUAACAGAAUACACCGAACGGCGUGAUGAAUGAUGUCUUCUCCUCGUCCUCUUUCGCCAUGCUGAUCUGGUGGUAGCCGGAAUAGGCGUCAAGAAAGCUUAACAACUCACAACCAGCUGUUGAAUUCACCAAUUGGUCUAUUCGAGGAAGAGGGAAGUGAUCCUUGGGACACGCCUUGUUGAGGUCGGUGAAGUCGACACACAACCUCCACUUCCCGUUGGCCUUGCGCACCAUGACUGGGUUGGCUAGCCACUCUGGAUGGAGAACCUCUCUGAUGAAGCUAGCUUUGAGAAGCUUGUCGAGCUCUUCUCGUAUGGCCUGUUUUCGAUCUGGUGCAAACCUUCGCAGUUUUUGUUUUACUGGCUUGGCAAUGGGUCGCACAAUGAGUAUGUGCUCAAUCACCUCCCUGGGGACCCCGGGCAUGUCGGACGGCUGCCAAGCGAACACGUCUGCAUUGUCGCGGAGGAAGGUAAUGAGCGCGAGUUCCUUUUCUCGUCCAGUGAUGCCCCGAUCUUGACGGUCUUGUCAGGGUUGGCGCUGGAGAGUGGAACGACCUUGAUUGCACCAUCUGGCUUCGGCGUCAUGUUUGUUUUGCUCACUUUCUUGGGUGGCUCAGCUGAGGUGGGUGGGUUGGGCGUGUGCUCGACCAUGUCGAGGCUCCGCUUGUCGCACUGCACCGCCAGCUUUGCAUUUCCCUGAAUAGUGAUUGUUCCCUUUGGCCCGGGCAUCUUGAGCACUUGGUACGCAUAGUGAGAUGUGGCCAUGAACUUCGCGAGUGCAGUUCUCCCGAUGAUGGCAUUGUAUGUUGUAUCAAAUUCAGCGACAUCAAAGGUGAUCUGCUCUGUUCGGAAGUUGUUUGCUUGGCCGAAAGUCAUAGGCAUCGUAAUCUUGCCCAAAGGCUUGGACGAUGACUGAAGAGUAAUUCCAUGGAAGGGUUGAUCAGUGGGCGUCAACUCGCUUCGUGGGAUCCCCAUCGCGUCCAAGGUACUGGCGAAGAAUAGGUUAAUGGAGCUGCCGCCAUCGAUGAGAACCCGUCCGACCUUGAUAUUCCGAAUAGUGGGCUCGACCACAAUCGGAUAUCGUCCUGGGGUGACAGCAGUCUUGGGGUGGUCUUCUUCUGAGAAUUCGAUCUUCUGCUCAGACCACUUCAUCUUGGGCGCAGCCCCCUACCAUGUUGAACAAACUUCACGCUCCACUUUCUUGUACUCUCGCUUUGAGGAGUACGCCGUGGAACCUCCGAAGAUGUGUGAGACAUGGAGAUCGGAGUCUGGGUAUGCUGAGUCCGAGUCCUGAGUAGCUGCUUCGGCGGCCUUCUCGACUACACGUACUCGCUUGCCCUUCUCCAAUGCCAGUUGCUUUGCGAGCGAUUUUUUGAAAACGAAACAAGCUUAUAGGGAGUGCUUGUCCGACUUGUGUAUAGGGCACCAUAUUUUCUUUAUGUCGUCGCCUUGUGGGUCUGGGUGCUUGUGCUUGUCCGCGUACUCUGCUACGAGGACUUCCAUUUGAGCUUUCCUUUUCCUACUCUUGUGACUCUUCUUCUUACUUGACUCGGGUGCGUCCUUGGCUGGUUUCUUCUCUCCCCCCAUCUUUGGCUUGUUGCUCUUGCGUCUCAGUGCGUCGUCCGCGUGAGCGCAUCGAUCGACAAUCUCGAAUAGCUUUCGAGCAGUUGUGAUUCAUCUUGUUGCCAACUCCUAGGUGGUGUAGUGAUCUCUGACACCAGUCUUGAAAGCGCGGAUCACAAAAGCGUCGGUGAUCUUGGGGAUCGUAUUCCUGCACUCAUUAAAGCGUCGAACGUAGUCCCUCAAUGAUUCACGUGGAUUCUGUGUCAACGCGUGCAGGUCGUCUUCGAUCGCAUGGCGCUUGUAAGUUCCUUGGAAGUUAGCGACGAACUGCUACCACAGAUUUGCCCACGAAGAAAUCGAGUAUGGUGGGAGGUGGACUAGCAUGAACGUGCAGAUCCUUUCAACGCCGCCGGCAAAUAAUUCGCCAAUGUGUUGUCGUCGGCUCCGGUAGCGUAGAGUACUGUGGAAUAGACCUGAAGGAACUCCUCAGGGUCGGUGCUCCCAUCGUACUUCUCUAUUUCUCCCGGUCGAAAUCUCUCAGGCCAUCGGACAUCUCGUAGAGCACGACUGAAAGCUCUACACCCGCCGCCGGGGGCGGUGGGUUGUCAGCGAUCGUAUGUCCUCCGUGGAUGUCUGUCUGAUGACGAGGAUGAUGAGUCACUUGGUUCCGGUGUACGAUUACGAGGAUGACGUCCGGCUUCUCAAGAAUCCUGUCGUCGCUCACCGUUGUUGUCCCGGUGCCGAUCUCCGUCGUCGUCAUCGUUAUGGCGGCGUCCUCGACCAGUAUCGCCCGACAUCCGCUGUUCGCGAUCAUCGCGUUCGUGGCAGUUGUGGCGGUUAUCACGGUUUCGGUUCUCGCUCGAGUGUCCUCCUCGCUCUUCGUUUUCCCGACGUCGUGAAGAGACGCGAUGUCAGGAACGAUUUUCGUUGUCUCGCGCGCGUCGUGCUUCUCGGCGGCCAUUCAAAUGGUCACGGAGAUCGCUGGUGCCGCGAGGUGGAGGGGUGGCUUGACGAGCUGAUGCCCGAUGCCCAGGUAAUUCGCCAUUGGCACCGCUAGUUGGCGGUUGUUCUGGCAGUACUCCGGCAGCGGCCUCCUUGAAUGCGUUGCUGAGGUUAGCCACUGAUUCCCGUAGUCGUUCUGUCCACUGUGCGAGAUCAUCGUUCAGAACAGGAUCAUAAGGGGUUUCCCUCAGUAUUGCGUUCAUGGCCCUGAUGUGCUGGGCCGGUGUAACCACUUGAUCCUCCGCUUCUACGUUAGCGCGCGUAGACAUGCUGAUCCCAUCGAUAGCAAACACAUCGCGUGGUGUACUCGUCGACGAUGAGCCCUGGUCUUCAAGCAAGUGUAGAACUGACGGCUCGUGAGGAUCGAUGUCGAUUACCCCAACGAAUCGGUUUGAGAUAACUGUCGCUCCUCGUUCCUUGUCCGCAUCUCUAAGAGAGACUCGUGACUGCUGGACCUUAGGAGAUGACGUCCUUAUGGCGCUGAGAAGAACCUUGCAGCUUGAGAGGUCGUGAUUCCUUGUCUUAUGAAUAGGACAAUAGACAUCACGGGUUGGAGAAGUACGUUGAAUUCUACGCUCUUUGCAAGCACGGAUCUCAGCUUGUACGUCAAGAAAAACCCAGCAAGCCUGCAAGGUGUGUUUCCUGGUUUUGUGGAUAGGACACCAGGACCUUGUCGCCUCGGAAGUUGUCCUUGUCGGCUCAUGAUUCUCGUCGGAAGGACAAGAUUUGGCCACACUAGGAUCUUUCUCGGGCUCGGAUGUCAUCGUUGUUCCGUUCUCCACUUCUGCAGGAGGAUCCUUCGACAUGGAGUCGUCCAGGGUUGUAACCACGGCGUUCUCGCUUCUAGUCAUUGAUGGACCAGUCGAGAUCCACCGUGGUGCAAAUCGGGAAGACGAUUUCGCCGACUUGAGUCCACACCAGCAUUGUUGAAGUAGAAACUCCUUGGUUGAUGCCGGGGUUGACGCUAUUGUCGACGAAGCUUGAUGACAUAGUAGUAGAACCUUGAGCACCAAGUCCCCCUACCUGGCGCGCCACUGUCGACAAGGGAUACCCGUGGACCGGAUAUAGAAGGUAUUGGGGUACGCUGGUAUGAGGAUCUACGUAGUACGACAUCAAGCAAACAGGAAACAGGGAUUAUACUGGUUCAGGCCCCUUGAUAGGUAAUAGCCCUAAUCCAGUUGAUACGAGAUUAUAUGAUGGAAACCACAGAUUACAAAGGGAAUAACGGAACUUGAUGAUACCGACGAGACCGUAGUCAAGUUGGUCCUACUAGAUCACCCGGCGACUUGGCUCCUACAGGCUUCGACUUCGUAGGCUGUGAUGGUUGUGUUGGCGAUGAUAUUCGAUGCCUUAGGCCCUCCCGGGGGGUCCCUUUUAUACCGCGGGUCAGUUGAUCUCCAAGUAGAACUCGGAGAUAUCGGACCCCACGCGAUACUGUAACGACCCAGUUCUGUUCGAGUAGGACUCCUUCCAUCUGUAGACUCUAUUUCUGUUACGUGAUGGAUUUCCUUAACAUGUACCGAAAACAUCCGUAUACACGCAGGUAUACCGUAUCAGUAUACAACAUACAUCCAAGGGUAGAGGGUAUACCUUAUCUGUAACCCUGACACAUUGGCAUUGGUAUUAGUUUAUACAUCCAUCCCACCCAAAACCUUAGUUCAGCCAGGCAAAGAUCCCCCAACUGCAAGAGGUAGAGACAUAUCCGGUGGAGCCCCUAGUUGUCAAACAAACAAUGGUUGUGGCACUGGACACCUAAGCAGCAAUGCAGCCUAAAUUAGUAGUUUGCUUGUUGCUCCCCGCAAAAAAAAAAGUAGUUUGCUUGUUGCUAUAGGUUAUUAUUAUUUUUUUAGUUUUAAGAAGGAAGCAUGUCAUUCUAUAGAAGUUGGAUGUGCAUGAAUAGGGUGACUGUGCAAUGGCAAAGAGGGUUGUACGAACGAAGAUGGUGAUCCAUGUGACAAUGCCCAUUGCAUGUAUAGAAGAUGUCUUGAGAUGGUGUUCAAAACACGUCCUGAAGUGUAAAGUGACCUGUUAAGGAAUGGGUUUGAUGAAAAUUACAAACGAUGGGUAUACCAUGGUGAAGAUGAUUCAGAUGAGGAUGAUGUCGCUGAAGGAAAUAACAACGUAGCAGUUCCUAAUAUGAUCAGCAAUAUAACAAGUGGGUACUGACCCUGAAAGGCUGAAACCAGGAUCCAUUGCAUGUAUAGAAGAUGUCUUGAGAUGGUGUUCAAAACACGUCCUGAAGUGUAAAGUGACCUGUUAAGGAAUGGGUUUGAUGAAAAUUACAAACGAUGGGUAUACCAUGGUGAAGAUGAUUCAGAUGAGGAUGAUGUCGCUGAAGGAAAUAACAACAUUGCAGUUCCUAAUAUGAUCAGCAAUAUAACAAGUGGGUACUGACCCUGAAAGGCUGAAACCAGGAUCCAUUGAUCAAAUUUUAUUACCUCCCUAGGAUUCAGAGAAGUUUACAAUACUAUCAAUUUAUCAUGUGUACCUUGUUGAAGUUGAUUCUAUCAUCAUGAAUUCCUGAUUUACUAGCAAUAGAGUUUUUCUACAUGCUUUUCGUUUAUAUGAUAAUCAAAAUUGUUCAACGCUUCAUAUUAGGAUUUUGUAAUGGUUAUGUUCUUUUAUAUUAUUUUUAUAUUAGAGUUACAGUUCUCGGAAAGUGUAUUAGAAUUCAUAGCUGUUGAUGGUCAUUAAGUACCAAUUUUGACCACCAACUAUCACAAUAAAUAAAGGGAUAACUAACAUUUAUUACAUGUAUAUCAGUAAUAAAUAAUGUAGUUGUACUAGAUUUGGAGAAUUAACUUGGAUACAGGCGAACAUGUUAGAAAAAUAAGAUAUCAAAGUAGAAGCAAUUUUAUCAAGAUUACUGGACACUAGCCUUCAAUUGUCAUAAUACGAGAGAUUCUAUUUUUCCUUUUCCUUCACCUUGAAAUCGGUAUUAGAGAUUUGGUUCCCACCCAACAGGGGGUGCAUAUAUAUAGAGGAGAUUAAACAUCAUGCUUGUUGGACUAUGUAAAAAAAAACAAGUACAUAACUAGGACUAGACAUAACUAUUGUAAAUUUCAUCUCAUUCGUCCUUAUAGUUAGGACUAGACAUAACUAAAAAUAUAUACCAUCGGAAAAAAAUUAUGGAAAAAAAACAAGCUCGAAAACGAUUUUGAUACGCAUAUAGUUAGGACUAGACAUAACUAAAGAAAAUAUACCAUCAGAAAAAAAAUGAUGGAAAAAAAACAAGCUCGAAAAUGAUUUUGAUACGCUAGGUGUGUAUAAAGUCGGGAAAAAAAUGAUAAAAAAGCUCGAAUAUGAUUUUAAUACGCUAAACAAGCUCGAAAACGAUUUUGAUACGCAUAUAGUUAGGACUAGACAUAACUAAAGAAAAUAUACCAUCAGGAAAAAAAUGAUGGAAAAAAAACAAGCUCGAAAAUGAUUUUGAUACGCUAGGUGUGUGUAUAAAAUCAGGAAAAAAAUAAUAAACAAGCUCGAAAAUGAUUUUGAUAUGCUAGGUGUGUGUAUAAAAUCGGGAAAGUGUGUGUAUAAAAUCAGGAAAAAAAUGAUAAACAAUAUCGAAAAUGAUUUUGAUAUGCUAGGUGUGUGUACAAAAUCGGGGAAAAAAAGAUGGGGGACAUGCUAGACGUACGUGUCGUUCGCCUUUGGCCCGUGGGCGGUGGCAAUGAUUCAGUUGUUGAAUUUGUCUGAAAUUGCAUAGAACAUGCGCUCCGCACGUGCAGCCACCGGACUCGGACGAAACCCGUGCAAAGCAACGGGGGUGUGCUCGUCAGCACGCUCCGUUCGGCGGUAGCUUCCCUUUUGAGGAGAUACAAAACUGUGUUCGCUAUCCGAUGUGGUACUAAACAACGUGCACUUUGCGUUUAGAACCCGCUGAGACAUACUAACCCUCAUAGAAAUGCAGAACGUACGCUUUACAGCGAAUGCAACAAUGGUAACACGUACGUCGUUCCAAAGUCCAGAAACACAUCUGAUGACAAGCUCAACUUCCCCGAGGACGACGUUUCAAAUUAAGUCAUGGACGGGUUCUUAGCCAGUGACGUAGAAUUCUUAUAUGGUUGAUCCAAUUUAUAUAUUUUUAAAUGUUAUAUAACAAAACUAAAAGUAUAAAUUGAUUAAAUAUGCAUCACAAUAUAGAAAUAUAAAUUGAUUAAAUGUGUAUUAUAAUAUACUAAUAAGGGAGUUAUUUUUUGCUUUUUUUUCAAAAAUUUCUUUUCACACAUGUAUAUAUACAUUGAGCUAGGUGGUCCACCAUCUAGAUCCGUCAAUGUUCUUGGGCGGCGACGGGAACGGCUGCUUCUUGGGCUCCUGGCGCAUUGGGACGUCGCCGUGAUCAUUAGGCUCAGGCAUCGGAUCACAUCGCUUGCUGGCAUCAGCGGUGGCGGUGGCGCCGCCCCUGGGCUAGCAUUUCUUUGGUGUCUCAGAGAUUACAUAAUGACUGUUGUUUUUUUAAGGUGUGGAGUACACUUUUUGUAUUAUGUGAUUUCUGUAGGCUUUUUACCAUUUUUCACUGUGAACAUACAAAUUCUCAUUGAAAUCAUAUGUGUAUUAUUGACAAUUUUUACGGUGUUUGCAUUCUAAAAAGGGUAAACAUCUAAUGCUCCACAAUGAAAGAUUCCACUUAAAAGGUAUUUAAGUAUUGUCAUAGGUAUUUAGGUAGGAAGGGUAAAGUAAUAAAUUUUUUUGGAGAUGGAGAAGGGCAUAAUUGUCUCAAUAUUAGCUCUAGGUACAUAGGUACUACAUCGAUACUUUAUCUUCUAUAAUCCUCCCAUGUAUCAUUUACGUGUUUUUUUUGUGAGAUUUACAUUUGGUAUCUAACAACAUGGUCCAACGCUAUUUGUGUUGGGCUGUAAAUAGAAUAGUGUGUGUGUGUGUGUGUUUGUGUGCUGGCCCAUCAGCUAGAGGCCCAUCUACUCAUGUAUAUGUAAAUAACGAUAGCAAUACUGAAGGGGUGAAGCUUCCAGAGAAAAAUUCACAAACUACAUGGCAUCAGAGCCAUGCUCCUGGCGGCCGGCGGCGACGAACCCUAGCUGAGGGAGCAAGCGCUGAGGUUGGAGUUCUUGGUGGUGGUGUAGGACGGUGAGCAGGGACAAGUAGGAGUGGACUGGAGGCGCAGCAGGUCAGGACACUCGCGGCUGCUGCAGCGAGCGGCGGUGACGGCAACACACAGCAGGUGCGUGAGCUGAGCAGGGAGGUCUGGAGGGGCAGCAGCUACAAGUGGGUUCCCCGGCCGUGCUUCUGCUUGUUGAGUUGGUUCCCAGCCGUGCUUCUGCUUGUUGGCUGGUGGUGGACUCUGUACUGUGGCUUGUGGUUGAGGGAAGAAGCACUAGUGACUGUUGUUACUGUUGUUCUUCUUCAAGAUUGAGGUAAUCGAGAUUGUUCUUGCUGCUACUACUGAUUUACUGGGAAGAAAAUACAGGAUAGAGGAAUUGUUGGCUUGUUGUUAGUGCUGCUGGUGGAGUGUAGACAAGGAGAGUUUGCUUUGUUACAGCAGUUAGUUGAGUGCUGCUUGAUUAAAAUGGGGGAAAAUCAGGGACUUGAACAAGUGAUGGGUAAAUUGGUGGACAUGCUUGCAAAGAAAUUUAGUGAGGUCCCAACUACAAGUAAUGCAGUGAUUCCUCAUACUGAAACAAUGCAAAAAAUUGAGUUGAUGCAAAAUGAUAUUAAGUUGGAGGGUGUCAAAAAUUAUUUAAGUUGGUCAAGGAGAGCAUUGUUGAUUUUGAAGACUAAGGGAUUAGAAGGAUAUGUCACCGGAGAAGUGAAGGAGCCUGAGAGUGCUAGUGCAGAAUGGAGGACUUGGAGCACUACCAACUCUUUAGUAGUAGCAUGGUUGUUGACUUCACUUAUCCCUGCUAUUGCUACAACUGUUGAGACCAUCUCAAGUGCAAGUGAGAUGUGGAAAACUCUCACUAAUCUCUACUCAGGAGAAGGAAAUGUGAUGCUAAUGGUGGAGGCACAGGAGAAGAUAAGUGUUUUGAGACAGGGGGAGCGUUCUAUUGCAGAAUAUGUUGCAGAAUUGAAGCAUCUAUGGUCUGAUUUGGAUCAUUAUGAUCCUCUUGGGUUAGAGCACCCCGAUUGUAUAGCAAAAAUGAGGAAAUGGAUUGAGCGCAGAAGGGUUAUUGAAUUCUUGAAAGGCCUAAAUCCAGAGUUUGAAGGGAGAAAAGAUGCUAUGUUCCAUCAGACUACUCUUCCUACCUUGGAUGAGGCUAUAGCAGCUAUGGCUCAAGAUGAGCUUAAGAGGAAAGUAUUGCCUAAGGCUACACCACCUUCAUCAAGUCCCACCUAUGCAAUGCUACAAGGUAAAGAGACUAGAGAGUGUUUUAAUUGUGGUGAAAUGGGGCAUCUCAUGCGUGAUUGUCGUGCUCCUCGCAAGCCUAGUUAUGGAAGAGGAAGAAGUGGUGAUAGAGGUGGAGCAAGAGGUGGAAGAGGUUAUGCAGGUAGAGCUAACAGAGGUAGAGGCUAUGAGUAUAGAGGUGAUCACAGAGCUAAUGUGGUCACUCUUGAAGAGGGUUGUUCUGGACCUACAAAUGUUGAUGUUGCCAACCUUGUUCAUUCUAUCUCAGGUAACUCAAACCAAGCAUUUAUGUCAAUCAAUAGUUCUCAUUCAAAUUGGAUACUUGACUCGGGUGCAUCCAGACAUGUCACGGGUAUGUGUGGAGAAUUUGCAUCAUAUAAACCAUACCCAUUUACACGAAAAGAAACAAUUGAAACUGCAGAUGGAACAUCAUGCCCAGUUAAGGGAGAGGGAACAGUACAAUGUACUCCUUCAAUCACUUUAUCAUCAGUGUUAUAUGUCCCUUCUUUUCCAGUGAAUUUGAUUUCAAUAAGUUCUCUUGUUGAUCAUAUGGAUUGUCGGGUAUCCCUUGAUCGUGAGAAUUGUUUAAUUCAGGAGAGGCAAACAGGGAAGAAACUUGGGACUGGCGUCAGGCGUGAUGGACUUUGGUAUUUGGAUAGAAAGGAGACAAGUGAAGAUGUAUGUCUUGCAUUGAUGGCUUCUACAAGUAAAGAAGAGGCUAAGGUAUUACUUUUGCAUUGUCGAUUGGGGCAUAUAUCUUUUGAAACUAUGAGUAAGAUGUUUCCAGCAGAACUAAGUAGAGUGAAUAAACAUAAGUUAGUAUGUGAUGCAUGUGAGUAUGGAAAACAUACAAGAACAUCAUAUGUGAGUAGAGGACUCCGAAGUAUGUUACCAUUUAUGCUAAUUCACUCAGAUGUUUGGACUUCACCUAUGGUCUCUAUGAGUGGAAUGAAGUAUUUUGUUACCUUUAUUGAUUGCUACUCUCGCAUGACAUGGUUAUAUCUUAUGAGGCAUAAGGAUGAGGUGUUUAAAUGCUUCCAGAAUUUCUAUGCAUACAUUAAAAAUCAUUUUAAUGCUCGAGUUCAGUUUAUUAGAACUGAUAAUGGCGGGGAGUAUAUAAACAAUGAAUUUAGUAGCUUUCUUUCAUCAGAAGGAAUAUUGCAUCAAACUUCUUGUCCUGAUACUCCUCCACAAAAUGGGGUGGCUGAGAGAAAAAACCGUCAUCUUUUGGAGACAGCUCGCUCAUUGAUGUAUGCUAUGAAUGUACCUAAAUUCUUGUGGAGUGAAGCAGUAAUGACAGCAACUUAUCUUAUCAACCGCACGCCAUCAAGGAUACUUGGAAUGCAGACACCAUGUGAGAUGAUAUUUGGAAAGAAUGAAUUUGUUGUUCCACCAAAAGUGUUUGGUUGCACUUGUUUUGUUAGAGAUCAUAGACCUUCCGUUGGAAAACUUGAUCCUUGGGCUGUCAAAUGCAUCUUUAUAGGCUAUCCAUCUGGCCAGAAGGGGUAUAAGUGUUGGAGUCCAUCAGAACGACGAACCUUUGUUAGUAUGGAUGUUACUUUUAGAGAAUCUGUCCCAUUCUACGGUGAGAAGACAGAUUUAAGUUCUUUAUUCGUUGAUCUUGAUAAUUCAACUAGUGGUCAUGAUGGUCAACAGAUGGAAGGUGAAAUAUUGGGUCCAAAGGGAGAUGAACAAUCAAAGAAGGAAAAGUUUGUGGUUGGUUCAAUUCCAUGUCCUAUGGGUGGUCCUGUUGCACAGGAGCAAGAAUGGAGGAAGCCACAUGAAGAGGAAAAUCUUCAAGUAUACACAAGGAGAACAAGGUGUCCAGUAAUCCAACAAGUUGAAGAGGAUAAUCAGGUAGAGAAAGAUGUAAGUCAUGAGCAAGGGUCUUUGGAGUCAAGGGGAGAAGAAGAGGAAGUUAGAGAAGAAUCUGACUUACCAAUUGCUGUCAGAAAGAGUGUGAGAAGCAAUGCAGGUAAACCUCCACUAAGGUAUGGUUUUGAAGAUCAAGAUGAGGGUGAUGAAGAAAAUAAUAUAUCCAACUUUGUUUCCUAUGACUCCUUGUCAUCCACAUAUAAAGCCUUUGUAGCAUCACUAGAUUCAAUGGAAAUCCCAAAGGAUUGGAGAGAAGCAAAGCAAGAUCCAAGGUGGCAUCAAGCUAUGUUAGAUGAACUAGAGGCUCUUGAAAAGAACAAAACAUGGGAUCUUGUACCAUUUCCUGAAGGAAAGAAAGUUGUCAACUGUAAGUGGGUUUAUACAGUAAAGCAAAAUCCUAAUGGAAAGGUGGAAAGAUACAAAGCAAGGCUGGUGGCUAAGGGAUAUAGUCAAACAUAUGGAAUUGAUUAUGAUGAAACUUUUGCACCAGUAGCAAAGAUGAGCACGGUAAGAACUCUCAUAUCUUGUGCAGCUAAUUUUGAUUGGCCAUUGCAUCAGCUAGAUGUCAAGAAUGCAUUUUUACAUGGAGAUCUUCAAGAAGAGGUGUAUAUGGAUAUCCCACCGGGAUUUGCUACUUCACAAACUGAAGGAAAGGUGCUGAGAUUGAAGAAAUCUUUGUAUGGUCUUAAACAAUCACCAAGAGCAUGGUUUGAUCGGUUUAGGCGUGCAAUGUGUGCUAUGGACUAUAAGCAAUGUAAUGGAGAUCAUACAGUUUUUUAUCAUCAUAGUGGAGAUCAUAUAACCAUCCUUGCUGUCUAUGUUGAUGAUAUGAUUAUCACUGGGAAUGAUUGCUUGGAGAUAACUAGGUUGAAACAGAAUCUAAGCAAAGAAUUUGAAGUUAAGGACCUAGGCCAGUUGAAAUAUUUUCUGGGUAUUGAAAUUGCAAGAUCUCCUAGAGGGAUAGUUCUGUCACAACGGAAAUAUGCAUUGGAUUUGCUCAGUGACACAGGUAUGCUUGGAUGUCGCCCAGCCUCUACACCAAUUGAUCAAAAUCAUAAAUUAUGUGCACAGUCUGGAAAUCCAGUGAAUAAGGAAAGAUACCAAAGAUUGGUGGGAAGACUGAUAUAUUUGUGUCAUACACGACCUGACAUAACUUAUGCUGUCAGUAUGGUGAGUCGAUAUAUGCAUGAUCCAAGGAGUGGUCAUAUGGAUGCGGUCUAUAGGAUCUUGAGAUAUUUGAAGGGAAGCCCAGGUAAAGGCCUAUGGUUUAAGAAAAAUGGACACUUGGAGGUUGAAGGCUAUUGUGAUGCAGAUUGGGCAAGUUGUCCUGAUGAUAGAAGAUCAACUUCAGGCUAUUGUGUGUUUGUUGGUGGCAAUUUAGUAUCUUGGAGGAGCAAGAAGCAACCGGUGGUGUCUCGCUCAACUGCUGAGGCAGAAUAUCGGGCAAUGUCAGUGAGUUUGAGUGAGUUGUUAUGGCUAAGGAAUCUUCUUUCUGAGUUAAAGUUGUCGGUGGAUACUCCCAUGAAAUUGUGGUGUGACAACAAGUCAGCAAUCAACAUUGCUAACAACCCAGUUCAGCAUGAUCGAACAAAGCAUGUGGAGUUGGAUCGUUUCUUUAUCAAGGAAAAACUGGAUGAGGGAGUUUUGGAAUUAGAAUUUGUAACGUCUAGUGGACAAGUUGCUGAUUGUUUAACAAAGGGUUUAGGUGUUAAAGAGUGUAAUCGUUCGUGUGACAAGAUGGGUAUGAUAGAUAUCUAUCACCCAUCUUGAGGGGGAGUGUUGGGCUGUAAAUAGAAUAGUGUGUGUGUGUGUUUGUGUGCUGGCCCAUCAGCUAGAGGCCCAUCUACUCAUGUAUAUGUAAAUAACGAUAGCAAUACUGAAGGGGUGAAGCUUCCAGAGAAAAAUUCACAAACUACAAUUUGGGGGCCUUGGGUGAGUUGGUUUGACCCAACUAAGAAGGAACAAUGCCGAUCCUAACACUAUUCGUCUUCUUCCUCCCAUCCAAGCUUGGGCAAACAUGAGGAGGAAACUAAGGGCGUCGAGAUUCUGGUGGCUGUAUGAUGAUGGCAAUGGCGGUAAGACAUGUCUCGCGGCUCAGCGCACCCAUGGGAAGUGGAGGUAGGCACAAAAGACAACAAGAGUGCGCGGAAUUCGAGCGCUAGGGUUUGAUUUAGGGAAAGAAAGAAUGGCGGGUAGCGAGCUUCAAUUAGUAUUUCGGCCACCUAAGAGCAUCACAUCGCGUCCCUGCCAAUAGGGAUUCCGUUUUCCCUAACUUGUUGACGAAAGUGGAAAGGGAAUGGUUGGAAGCGGUGGAGCUUGAUGGCCCAGGAGGAAGCAUGACCAUGGACAAGAACUUUGUUUCUACCAAACAAUACAAUCCACUAAAUCUUUGGAAGAUUUACUUUGUUUCCUAUUGAACGAUACACAGGAAAUACCAUAUUGUACUAGUUAAUUACUCCACUGCCAUCAUUUACGAUAAUUUUAUACUGUACCUUGCCCUCUCUUAAUGAACGGUACACAUUGUUGUACCUCUCAGUACUUCUAAGUAACUCGCAAACACCGUAAAAGCUCUCGUAUUUUUAUUGUUUUGAGGACCAUUGUUGUGAUUUAUAUUGCUUUUGAAACUUCCUGAGCUGUUUCCAAUUUGUACUUCUCUUGACAUUUCUUUUUUUUUCUUCUGAAUUUCUUACUUGUUUUAAACUUUUUGAAUUUUAAUAGGGAUGCUUCUUGUUAGCUUUUUUGUUGGUUGGUAUUGCUACACGCUGUUUUUAGAAUUCUUCACAUCAAACUGGGGUAGUAUAUAAACAUUGGAAAAUCAUUCACACACAAAAAAUCAACUGGAAGCCCGACUUCUACACAGUAAAAAAAGAAAGACAAAAUCCGGCUGACUUUCAUUUCUUUUCAAUUAAUACUACAUGUACAAAAUAGAAUCAAAAUUAACAGAUUUCAUGCAUGUAAAACAAAUUAUCUGCACUAUCAGCUUUGUAUAUAUACUCCUGUUUGCUUCAUUUCUGACUGCACUAUACUACGAAUUUUGUUACAAAACCAAAAUAGAGUUGAAAAAAAGGAAAAAAAAAACUGUUACAUUGGAAGUGGGUAAUCGAUCAGGUCUGAGUUAGCAAAAAUCGAUCAUCACCUCCUCUGGAAGUUAAGCAUCUUGAUGGAGAGCGAGAAGGAGACGGCGAAGAGCGUGGCGAACCCCGCAACAGCAACGGCGACGACACCGAGGAAGUCGUGCUUGAAGCCGAAGUACUCCCUAAGGAAGACGUCAAUGGGGACGCCGGUGUCGCGGAGCGGCUCCUUCAGGUCGCCGAACUGCGACGCCACCAGCCCGUACAGCGUCCACGACACCGGGCACGCCCACGAGUACCACCUCCACCACACCGGCAUGCUCUGAACACAUCACCAAGAAUAACACAUCAGUUUCGUAUAGAUGUCGUGCGCGUAUCGACCAGGGUUUACCAAACCGUUUGGGGUGGGAUUACCGCCACCACACGGUUUGACGGUUACCGCGGUAAUCGUGGUAAUCGUGCGGUUACCGUGAGGUAUACCGUGGUUUCAAAAACUGAGAAGGUUAACGCACGUGAUAACUAUGAUAACCGUUUAAAAACCCUAGUACUAGCCAGUUCAACCAAAAAGCUUAAAUGACAUCGGCAUUUUCGAUGUCGUAUACCAUACUACCAACCAGUUCACCCCAGAAGCUUAGCAUACAUCUCUAUUUCAGAUGCCGUGUGCUAGCCCGUUCGAUCCAAAAGCUUAAGGUUAAGUAAGAUUUAACGAUACAUACCGGGCGGGGGAUGACGAAGCCGGAGAAGAGGUUCCAGAUGCCGUAGAAGAAGGAGGAGACGAUGGAGGCGAUGUUGUAGCUCGGGGUGAGGCCGACGGCGAGCAUGCCGUAGAAGGUGAAGUAGAGCAGCGUGAAGUACAUGAAGUAGAGGUACCAGAAGAACUUCUUGGCCUCCCACUCGAAGCCGAUCAUGGCGUACACGAUCACCCCGUACACCGCCGACUGCACCAGCACGUACGGCAGCUCCACC